RNAcentral lists this long non-coding RNA (85054 nucleotides) under Brassica napus (rape). RNAcentral describes it as "long non-coding RNA (BNAP_LNC014140)". The record is from RNAcentral. Lineage: Eukaryota; Viridiplantae; Streptophyta; Magnoliopsida; Brassicales; Brassicaceae.
ACCUCGAUUUUAUGUUAUCUUUUGUCUUCCCUGGGACAUUCAAUAUUGUAUUCAUGAUGUUCUCAAAGAAAUUCUUCUCUAUAUGCAUCACCUCGAGGUUGUGGCGCAGAAAAAAAUCCUUCCAAUACGAAAAUAUACUCUUCUUGUGCCAGUUGUGAUGAACACCGUAAGAAUCAGGCAUAUUACGAGGGACAUGCUAAUUACCACCACAACGAAAUGUUUCGUUAGCUCCCUAGUAGUCGAUUUGCGCUUCAAUUUGUUCUCCAGUUAGAUAUGGAGGAGGAAUGUCUCUCACAACCAUUUUGUGCCUAAACAAAUUCUUUUUUCUUCGGUACGGAUGGCUAAUGGGAUGAAAUCGACGGUGAUAAUCGAACCAACUUGUCUUCCCACCAUUUUUCAGUUGAAACGCAUAUGUCGUUCCAUUACAAUAUGGACAAGCUAAUCUCCCAUGUGUAGUCUAUCCAGACAACAUCCCAUAAGCAGGAUAGUCACUUAUGGUUCACAAAAGCAUCGCUCGCAUCGUAAAAUUCGUCUUCGUUGAGCAGUUAUACGUCCUCACCCCUGUUGACCACAAAUCCUUCAACUCUUUUAUCAGUGGUUGUAGGAAAACAUCCAUAGACCUUUUUGGAUGGUUCGUACCAGGUAUUAAUAUGGUCAAGAAUAGCAACUCCUGUUGCAUGCACAUCUCUGGUGGCAGGUUGUAUGGCGUAAGAAAGACUGGCCACAAUGAAUAUUGUCUUCCUGGCAUUCCGAAUGGACUAAAUCCGUUUGUGCAUAAUCCGAGAUACACAUUCCGGCUAUUGCUAGCGAAAUCCGGAUGUACUUUGUUCAAAUGUUUCCAGGCUCUUGCAUCUGAUGGAUGAGUCAUCUCACCAUCCGUCUGAGUAUGCUCGGCAUGCCAUCUCAUCUUUCCAGCAGUCUGCUCUGAUUGGUACAAUCUUUUCAAUCUGUCUGUAAUUGGUAGGUACCACAUCCUUUGGUACGGUACCCUAUUACGUCCCCGUCCUUGCGGCUUGAAUCAUGGCUUCUUGCAGAAUCGACAUUUUUCUAGCUUCUCAUCAUCUCCCCAAUAGAUCAUGCAGUUGUCGAUGCAAACAUCUAUCAUCUCCGAAGGCAACCCAAGACUAUAAACCAGUUUCUGAAUCUCAUAAUAAGAAUCAGCAGACAAAUUGUCUUCCGGCAAAUACUCUUUAAACAAGUCUACCCAUUCAUUCAUGCAACUUUCAGGUAGAUUGUGAUCAGUUUUAAUAUUCAUCAUUCUAGCAGCCAACGACAAUUUAGAGAGACCUUCUCUACAACCGCUGUAAAGUGGCUGAUUCGCCGCAUUUAACAUUUCAUAAAACUUUUUUGCAUCUAUAUUAGGUUCUUCAUCUUCAUCAUGAGCUACGAAUGCAUCAGCUACCAUAUCAUGAACCCUAUCAUAUUAUACCAUCUGCUCUUCCUGAUGGUAACUAUGUUCAUUAUGCAAAUGAUGAUCAACCGGUUCUUUCUGAAAAUUGCUAUUACUACUACUAGCUUCAUUCUGAUCAUAAUUAUAACCUUCUCCAUGUUGAAAUCAAAUAUAGUAAUUUGGCGUAAAACUUCUAUUUAUUAAAUGCUUCCAAAUAUUUUCACCAUUUGUCAAUUUCGAAUUGUUGCAUUUCCGACAAGGACAUAACAUCUUACCACUUACUUGGGGAGCGGUGUGGAAUCUGCUUGAUGCAUAAAUGUCUCCAGCCCCGCAAGAUAUUCUUUCGUCACUCUCGCGUUAGCAUCUCUAUGCAUAUACAUCCACCUCCGCAACUCAAAAAUUUUCCCGGUGCCUGACAUUUUUUUUCUUUCACGUUUUUUUUUCUUGUUGGUGUGUUUAAAAUGAUGUUCAAAUUUCCAUAUUUAUAAGAAAUUUUUGAAUCUGGUAGUUGUUAUUUUCCUACGAAUUUACGACAAAAUCUAGUUAGGUGCCCGAAAAAAACGUGUUACAACUACAAAGUUGGUGGAUUCAAAAUUUCCUCGCUAGGUAGACGUAAAAUAUUUUCUCGUAAAGUACACGCUACAUUUACAUCAAGUUUACGAGGAAAUCGUAAUUCCUCGCAAAGGCUACGUGAUAUUACAUCUACUUAACGAGGAAAAGUAAUCGUCGUUAUUUUACGAGGAAAUAAUGCUGAUUUUAUUUUUCCUCGUAAGUUCCUCGUAAAGUCGACGUAAAUUUACGAGGAUUACUUUUCCUCGUUAAAUUUCCUCGCUAAACUUGUAAUUUCUUGUAGUGCUCAAUCGAACCACUAAGUACCAAAUGUCUGAAACAACUGACAUGUAUCCAAAUCGGCCACGCACAAGCCAAAACUCGGUUGCUACGUAGCGACCAAGCACACACACGGCUCGGUCACUACGUAGUGACCGAGCACGCACAUGGCUCGGUCGCUACGUAACGACUGGGUACGGACACGGCUCCGUCGCUACGUAGCGAUCGAGCUCGGUCGCUACAAAGCGACCGGUAGUGACCGAGCUCUCGCCAAGCCGGGUCACUACGUAGCGACCGAACACGCACACGGCUCGGUCGCUACGUAGCGAUCGAGCACGUACACGGAUUGGUCGUUACGCAGCGACCGAGCUCUCCCAAAACGUCGAUACAACAUGAAUCCAUGCAUUUUUGUCUACUCUUCAAUGCUAUCUGUCGUGAGUCAUGGCUAAACUGUUCUUUGUUUAUCGUCACUCGAAGUCAUCAGUCAAACUUUACGAUAAAAACCGCAGGAAAUUCAUUUUUAUCAAAGAAACCGUGAUAAACGUUCUGAGUCAAAGAACGGUCCAAAGAGACCUAAAACGCAGCUCAAAGCCCACUUACGAUUUCUUAACCAAAAACCCAUAAGUCUUAUGACGGUUUAUGCUUGGUUCAUAAGGCAAGAUAAAUGUCAAGUUUCCGCGGAUAAAUGUAAAGUUUCCGAAGAUAAUCACGAAGAUCGGAAAAAACAGAAUAUCUCCAUUUUUGAGCUAUGACGGCUUAAGGGUAGAAAGGGAAAGGCGCAAACCGACCUAAGAGCAAGUAUAUAAGGAGUCCUAGGCGAGAGGCAGAAAAAGAUACGCAUUACACAGCACACUCAGCAUUUAGAGCAAUUUAGGCAAUUUUCCGUUUUUGUUAUUCGAGCUGCGACUCAAUUAGGUUUUGCAGCUUUAGGGAUUUAGAACUAGGAAUCUCGUCGCUAGCUCUCGUAGCCCAGGCUCUUACCUUGUUGUAACGCUCAAACACGAAUUCGGAAUAAGAUCAACUUUGUUCUCUUUUCGAUUUCUUAUCUUUUAUCAUCUUUAUUUCGUGUUCUGAUUGAUUGGCGUGUGGUAUUAGCAGAUAUCCGGGACCUCUGGAUAAUUAGGGUUCUCCUACUUUCCUUAUUUAAACGGAAAUCGACAGUGUGAAUUUUGGUUCCCACAAUGUGCAUGUUCUUCUUUCCAAAUCAACAUGACAAUCAUAUAUGUCUCCUUUCACAAGCGAUCUGAAGUUGUCAAACUUGUAAACCUGGAAUCCUUUUGCCUUCACAAUUCUCCUAUCAAUCUUUCUCUCCACCUUAGCGGUUAAAGGAUCAAGAUGCUUUGAGCUUAACAAGCGACGCUCAUAGAACCAUCGAAUCAACAGUUCUCUUAUACUAUCAAGCAAAGGAAUAACCGGAUAUUCUCUAGGUAUUCUAAGAACUAAAUUGAUCGACUCUGCAGGGUUCGUGGUCCUAAUGUCAUACCUGGAGUCAUGGAAGAGAGAAUGAGCCCAUUUGCGCACAGCAGCCUCCCGUAAAUAUCUUCCAAGCUCAGGACUCCUAUCAAAAAUUUCGGUCAUACGUUUUUGAAAUUCAGUGUAUCUAUAUGCCCGUGAAGCCUUUUCCACCAAGGCAGUCAACCCUUUUGUCUUGAAAAAUGCAACCACAUUGGUCAACAAGUGAUGAAUGCAAAUUCCAUGUGCUGAUUGAGGGUAGACAGUCCCAAUCGCUUUAGAAAUAGACACAUUUCUAUCUGAGACAAAAGCUAGGUCUUGACAAUCAAUAAUAACCACUUUCAACUAUCUGAAGAACCACCCCCAUGAAUCGUCAUUCUCUGAAUCAACAACCCCAAAUGCAAUCGGAUACAAAUUAGAGUUGUCAUCUACAACAGUAGCAACAAGCAGAACUCCUUUGUAUUUAUUUUUCAGAAAAGUUCCAUCAACAACAAUCACCCUUCGCAUUGCAUUGUAAAAUCCUCUAACUGAUUGCCCAAAUGACAUAAAUAGAUACAUGAAUCUUUCUUUCUCAUUAGUUUCAUAGUGAGUAUGCGUACCAGGAUUAGCUUCUUUAAUCAUAUGCAAAUAUGCUAGUAUUUUAGCAUAACUGCGAUUUGGUAUACCUCUAGCAUCAGCAAUAGCAAACUCACGAGAUUCCCAAACGUGCCAAUAAGUAAUCUCACAACUAAGCUCCAAUCUCAUAAAUUGAAUGAUGUCAUUUGCUUUUGGGCCAUCGUUUGCAUCAUCAAAUCGAUGUUGUAUUAGAGUCCCAAUUGUUCUUGCCGAUGUUGUUUUUCCGAAUUUCCUUUUCUUUGAAGGAGCACAUGAAUGUCUUCCCUCGCUCUGGCUGAUAAUGAAAUAUGUAGACCCAUCUAUACCUUCUGCACGCACAGCCCAGUUGCACAUUGCAUCCUUACAUCAAAUAUACCACAAUUUUCUCGUGGAUUUGAAAAUAGUGUAAUCAAAAUUAUUCUUCAUCGCUAAAAUUUCCAUUGUUGCCUUCAGAACCCUUUACUUCUGAAAAUUUGAUCCUUCUUCACGAAAUCUCCUCUCCACGCUUGGCCAUCCUUUUCACUGUCUCCAUUGUUUUGACAAUCUCCAAUGAUUUCACUCCUUAAAGCAGCAUCACCGUAACCAUCCGCAGCGACAUGAUCCUUCCUUCUAACACAAGACUCUUUUGACGGCUUCACAAACUCUGCUCGAUUUAUCUCAGGAACUUCUUCAUCCUCAACAUUACUUGAAUCACAAGGCUCCUUAUUCAAAUCGAUAUUGACUCGUUCCUUUUGAUUUACACCAGAAACAGGGAACAUGACAUACAAGGUAGUAGACGAAUCCCUCUUUGCAUAGCCCACAAAAUUAGAUGCUUGCCGAUCAUUGGUGAUAAUAAUUGGAGAAUUCCCUCUUUGAUUCAACAACGAAUAACUGAGCUCGGCAUUAACGGCAUUAUGGUCCACCCCAUAAUCCUCACACACCAUGUCUUGAGCUGCUUCAACGUAGUAGUAGUUUCUAAUGUUACCAUUCGACCACGCCUUUCUUUGUCAACCACGAAACUCCACUCAUCACUACAACUAGACAUCCAUUCACCAGAUUUAACAUAGAUUAGAAGCGUGUUGUAUUGAUAGAGAAAAGAGAUGAUUAUGUUGAUGAAGAAGAGAGAAACACAAACAACGAAGAGAAAAAAUCGUGGGAGAAGGAGAAAAACGUGGGGAAAAAUAUUCUAUGAGAUAUUUAGGGAAGAUUUAGUUUAGAUUUAGGAAACGUCUUUAACCGAAUAUGGAAGUUUCCAUAUUUUCCGGAUUUCCCGUAGAAUAUAUAUUCUAGCUAACUCAAAACACAGUAGAGUAGAUGUGAAAUAUAUUCAUCCUUAAGCGCCACAUAAGGUAAAAACAGAACAUGUUAUGUCACAAAAUGUAGAUAAGGUAUAUCACUGCGUUGUGGCUAUAUAUCGUUAUCAAGCUGUAGGUAUACUGAAGACAUCUUUCUAGAAUAUAUAAGAAAUGCUAGUUUACGUUGUAUACCCAAGAUAUAUCUAUGUAUAAAACGUAGUAUCCAAUUUCUAGACUAAGUAGAUGACCAUAAUGAGUAUUCUAACUAUAGCUAGAAUAUAAAAUAAAAUAUGAUUCUACUUUAAAAAAAAACUUUUAAACAUAUAUAUUAUCCCAAUAGUUUUUAUAUUUUUUAACAUUUAUAAAAUUUAGUUUACUAUUUUUCCAUAAAAGAAGUGUAAAAUAUGUCUAGAAAUGUCUAAAAUAUGAGAAGUCCUAUUGUAAAUAAAAGUUAAUAGUUCAAAAUGUGUCAUUUUUCCAAUUUUCCCUUAAUUUAACCUCGCCCGACUAUUAAUUAUGGGAUUAGAAUACAUAUAAAUGGAAUAAGCAUAUAAAUAUUUAUUAGAUUUCUGAUACGGAAACUGAAUGUGUUACCAAUCUGAAAUUAAACUACAUUUUGUUACGGUCGGACCAAACAAUCUUCAGUGUAAAACAUCAUAUUUAUAGAACAAUCGCUAUGAACACGUUUCUGAUUAUCUCACAUUAGUUUUCUCUUAACAGCUACAAAAAGGAAGACGUUAGUGCAGCGAUAAGAGGAGAAGCUGCUAAUUCCCUGGACUCUGUAGACGUGUUUCUCUGAAAACAGAAGUGCCACCAGAACCAGCUGGUGAAGGUGAUGAAGCUAUGUAGUUUGUUCCUGACGCAGACACAGUGCCUCCUCCCGCAGCAGCACUUGGAUUCCCCGGUUGAGUUGGACCCACGCGUGGGCUCCAUCGAGAAGGAUGCGGAGCCUGAGAACACAGCAACAACAUUCAAUUCCAAAAUGCAAAACUACUCUACGACUAGGGCUUGAGCAAGAAGUAACUUUUGAAUGUAUACCAUAUUGUGCUGUGAAAAGGCGGCUGCUCUUCUGAGCGGAGAUUCAGAUGAUGAAGAAGCACCGCAUAGUCGAAGAACACUGGGAGUUUGAGCAUUAUUAUGAUUCCCUGCAUCAUUCGUCUCUCCGCCUUCCAUGUGAGUACCAGCAUUACCUCCAGAGUCAUUAGAGACAUCUACAUGGAGUGGAAGAGAAGGACGAGACGAUGUUGUUCCUGGCUGUUGCGUGAUGCUGCUGCGCCUUUUCAAUUCUUCCUCAGCAUUCAGAAUCUGUGAACAUCCGUCAAUUUUGACAUGAAUAAUAACGAUAAACAGCAUGUGUAUUGACAUAGCAGAAAGAAAGUGCACUGACCAGCUUAAGAACUUGGACGAGAUUGUGUUUCUUUGCAUUCAACACUUGUAAUCUCUCCUCCACUUGUUUCUCUUCUUUCUCUAUUUCGCUUGGUACUACUUCUUCAGCUGUUUCCUUUGCCUUGUGAAAACACAACAAUAAAGCUAGACACGAUAAGGACUCAACUGAUUGGUGUCAAUCUAAGGUAAGAUAACGAAACAACCUCAGAGAAAGCUUACAACUUUACGAGUUCAUGAAAGCCCCAAACUGAUAACUCUGUUGCAACUAACGCUACUUGAGGAGGGCGGGCACACAUCAAAGUAAGUUUCAUCAAAUCAGUUCACCUAAAAUUAGCAACCUUUCCUAAUCUCCUAUGUACUUCAUCGAACCACUAACACUUGUACUCAAAAUCUAUUGGAAUGUCUCAAAGAAGCAUACCUCCGCCUUAUGAUUCGCGGCUUCCUCGUGUGGUAAAUUAUCGGUUUCAUUAUUCGAUAGCAAUUCCAUCACUCCAUCUCCACCCCCCGAUCCUCCUGCUCGAGCUCCUUCAAUUCUGACAUUAUCCUCUUCCCUAACCUGAUUCCCACUAACCUCCUCUCUCUUCACCUCAACAAGCUUCUGUUUCCCGGACGAACCGGGCCGUUCAGAUGGAAUCGCAUCCUUCCGAUCCGUAGCCUGCUCAGACUUGACGUUAUGGCUCGGGUUAGGGUUAGGGUUAGAAUUAGGGGAGAGACGAGAAAGAGCUCGCUUGCGGCGGUGAAGGAGAGAUUUGAAGUCUUUGAAAGAGAGGUUGCGAUCCGGCAUCGUCCAGCGGCGAGGCACGUCGGGAACUUUGUGAAGGUUGCCUCUGUACAUGGAUAUCGCCACCAUCUCUUUCUUUUUUUCUUUUUUGGGUUCCGUCGUCGAAUUCGCCGUUUCGUUCUGCUACCGUGAUCCUAUGACGAAGGGAUUUCGAGUUGCGUGAUGUUUUGCUAUGCGAGAUGAGAAACGUGCGCCGUUUCUGUACACGAAAUUUCUAUGAUUGUAUUUAAGCCGAUGGGAAAGCCCACAAAUGUAUGUUUAAAGCCCAUUUACUAUCCAAUUUUAUUAUUAUUUCUUAAAUGUUAUAUCUAUCUAUCUUUUUUUUUUAACGAACAACAAAAACUAUAUCUAUAAAAAGUGAAAAUUCCCAAAAAAAUAGCUGAACUAAUUUACAUUUGCUAAAAAAUAUUUAAACAAUUUUGGUUCAUUUUUUAAAGGUUGAUAUCAUCAGUUUAGCGGUUUAAACCUUUCGAUUUUUCAGAAGUAUAAGUAUUAAUUGGCUAUAAAAUUAAAAUAAGUUAUAUAUUAUAUAGAAAGUCAAAAUAGUUUAUGUAUUUUUGAGAAAAUAAAAAUUAAUUUAAAUAUUUUUUGGUAAUUUCAAAACCAAGAAAAAACAUGAAAAUUAAGAGAUUUUGUUCUUCGAUCCGAUUUAAUUAUUUUCAAGGUUUUAGGUAGUUUAGGUUUUUAAAACUCUUAUUGAAAUUAACUGACUGAAAAUAUGAUUCAGUUUUUGGUUCUGGAUGAUAAAUUAUUGACCAAAGUUAACUGAUUCUUGGUAUUUUGGUUAAAUUAUUGCUAAAUUUGAUUAGUUCAGUUCUUUUGCUCAGAUAGUGUAUGUUUUGUAACAUUUUGGUAUACCUUGAUAAAAUUUGGUAUCCAUUAUUAGAAAACUAUAUAUUUUUUUAAAGCCGAGUUUUAUUGCAGAACAAAGUGUUUGUUGGAUCCACGAUCAAGAUUAUCGGUUUCAUUAAAAAAAAAUUUAUUAUCCGAUAAUCAACUUUCAUAUCCUCACAAUGUAUAUUAAAUCUGAAAUAAUAUAAUUAUUACCAUUUAUUAUCCAAUUUUAUUAUUAUCUCUUAAAGUUAUAUAUAUAUCUAUCUUUUUUUUCUGAACGAACAACAUCUAUACUAUACUAAAAGUUGCAUAUCCUCAAUAGAGAGGGUGUCCACCUCAGCUAGAAAAAUCAACCAAUCAUAAGCUUUCUUUAUGCCACUUCACAUCCUUCUUUGUCGACAUUGAAUUGCAAAUAGGCCUAAUAUUUUGGGUUUAUAAAAUUUGGCUGUGGCCCAUUUGAAACCUUUCUUACUCUUUCUUAGUCUCUUCCCUCGCUCUGGCUGAUAAUGAAAUAUGUAGACCCAUCUAUACCUUCUGCACGCACAGCCCAGUUGCACAUUGCAUCCUUACAUCAAAUAUACCACAAUUUUCUCGUGGAUUUGAAAAUAGUGUAAUCAAAAUUAUUCUUCAUCGCUAAAAUUUCCAUUGUUGCCUUCAGAACCCUUUACUUCUGAAAAUUUGAUCCUUCUUCACGAAAUCUCCUCUCCACGCUUGGCCAUCCUUUUCACUGUCUCCAUUGUUUUGACAAUCUCCAAUGAUUUCACUCCUUAAAGCAGCAUCACCGUAACCAUCCGCAGCGACAUGAUCCUUCCUUCUAACACAAGACUCUUUUGACGGCUUCACAAACUCUGCUCGAUUUAUCUCAGGAACUUCUUCAUCCUCAACAUUACUUGAAUCACAAGGCUCCUUAUUCAAAUCGAUAUUGACUCGUUCCUUUUGAUUUACACCAGAAACAGGGAACAUGACAUACAAGGUAGUAGACGAAUCCCUCUUUGCAUAGCCCACAAAAUUAGAUGCUUGCCGAUCAUUGGUGAUAAUAAUUGGAGAAUUCCCUCUUUGAUUCAACAACGAAUAACUGAGCUCGGCAUUAACGGCAUUAUGGUCCACCCCAUAAUCCUCACACACCAUGUCUUGAGCUGCUUCAACGUAGUAGUAGUUUCUAAUGUUACCAUUCGACCACGCCUUUCUUUGUCAACCACGAAACUCCACUCAUCACUACAACUAGACAUCCAUUCACCAGAUUUAACAUAGAUUAGAAGCGUGUUGUAUUGAUAGAGAAAAGAGAUGAUUAUGUUGAUGAAGAAGAGAGAAACACAAACAACGAAGAGAAAAAAUCGUGGGAGAAGGAGAAAAACGUGGGGAAAAAUAUUCUAUGAGAUAUUUAGGGAAGAUUUAGUUUAGAUUUAGGAAACGUCUUUAACCGAAUAUGGAAGUUUCCAUAUUUUCCGGAUUUCCCGUAGAAUAUAUAUUCUAGCUAACUCAAAACACAGUAGAGUAGAUGUGAAAUAUAUUCAUCCUUAAGCGCCACAUAAGGUAAAAACAGAACAUGUUAUGUCACAAAAUGUAGAUAAGGUAUAUCACUGCGUUGUGGCUAUAUAUCGUUAUCAAGCUGUAGGUAUACUGAAGACAUCUUUCUAGAAUAUAUAAGAAAUGCUAGUUUACGUUGUAUACCCAAGAUAUAUCUAUGUAUAAAACGUAGUAUCCAAUUUCUAGACUAAGUAGAUGACCAUAAUGAGUAUUCUAACUAUAGCUAGAAUAUAAAAUAAAAUAUGAUUCUACUUUAAAAAAAAACUUUUAAACAUAUAUAUUAUCCCAAUAGUUUUUAUAUUUUUUAACAUUUAUAAAAUUUAGUUUACUAUUUUUCCAUAAAAGAAGUGUAAAAUAUGUCUAGAAAUGUCUAAAAUAUGAGAAGUCCUAUUGUAAAUAAAAGUUAAUAGUUCAAAAUGUGUCAUUUUUCCAAUUUUCCCUUAAUUUAACCUCGCCCGACUAUUAAUUAUGGGAUUAGAAUACAUAUAAAUGGAAUAAGCAUAUAAAUAUUUAUUAGAUUUCUGAUACGGAAACUGAAUGUGUUACCAAUCUGAAAUUAAACUACAUUUUGUUACGGUCGGACCAAACAAUCUUCAGUGUAAAACAUCAUAUUUAUAGAACAAUCGCUAUGAACACGUUUCUGAUUAUCUCACAUUAGUUUUCUCUUAACAGCUACAAAAAGGAAGACGUUAGUGCAGCGAUAAGAGGAGAAGCUGCUAAUUCCCUGGACUCUGUAGACGUGUUUCUCUGAAAACAGAAGUGCCACCAGAACCAGCUGGUGAAGGUGAUGAAGCUAUGUAGUUUGUUCCUGACGCAGACACAGUGCCUCCUCCCGCAGCAGCACUUGGAUUCCCCGGUUGAGUUGGACCCACGCGUGGGCUCCAUCGAGAAGGAUGCGGAGCCUGAGAACACAGCAACAACAUUCAAUUCCAAAAUGCAAAACUACUCUACGACUAGGGCUUGAGCAAGAAGUAACUUUUGAAUGUAUACCAUAUUGUGCUGUGAAAAGGCGGCUGCUCUUCUGAGCGGAGAUUCAGAUGAUGAAGAAGCACCGCAUAGUCGAAGAACACUGGGAGUUUGAGCAUUAUUAUGAUUCCCUGCAUCAUUCGUCUCUCCGCCUUCCAUGUGAGUACCAGCAUUACCUCCAGAGUCAUUAGAGACAUCUACAUGGAGUGGAAGAGAAGGACGAGACGCUGUUGUUCCUGGUUGUUGCGUGAUGCUGCUGCGCCUUUUCAAUUCUUCCUCAGCAUUCAGAAUCUGUGAACAUCCGUCAAUUUUGACAUGAAUAAUAACGAUAAACAGCAUGUGUAUUGACAUAGCAGAAAGAAAGUGCACUGACCAGCUUAAGAACUUGGACGAGAUUGUGUUUCUUUGCAUUCAACACUUGUAAUCUCUCCUCCACUUGUUUCUCUUCUUUCUCUAUUUCGCUUGGUACUACUUCUUCAGCUGUUUCCUUUGCCUUGUGAAAACACAACAAUAAAGCUAGACACGAUAAGGACUCAACUGAUCACUUUACGAGCUCAUGAAAGCCAAACUGGUAACUCUGUUGCGACUGAUGGUUUCAUAUAUCCAAAACAUCCAUUAAUGCGCACAUCAAAGUACGUUUCAUCAAAGCAGCCACUUACAUUGAUGAAUUCACUUAAAAUUAGCAACCUUUCCUAAUCCCCUAUGUACUUCAUCGAAUCACUAACACUUGAACUCAAAAUCUAUUGGAAUGUCUUAAAGAAACAUACCUCUGCCUUAUCAUUCGCGACUCCCUCAUUAUUCGAUAGCAAUUCCAUCACUCGAUCUCCACCUCCUGCUCGAGCUCCUUCAAUUCUGCCAUUCUCCUCUUCCCUAACCUGAUUCCCAUUAACCUCCUCUCUCUUCACCUCAACAAGCUUCUGUUUCCCCGACGGACCGGGCCGUUCAGAUGGAAUCGCAUCCUUCCGAUCCGUAGCCAGCUCAGACUUGACGUUAUGGCUCGGGUUAGGGUUAGAGUUAGGGUUAGAAUUAGAAUUAGGGGAGAGACGAGAAAGAGCUCGUUUGCGGCGGUGAAGGAGAGAUUUGAAGUCCUUGAAAGAGAGGUUCCGAUCCGGCAUAGUCCACCGGCGAGGCACCUCGGGAACUUUGUGAAGGUUGCCUCUGUACAUGGAUAUCGUCACCAUCUUUUCUGGGUUCCGUCGUCGAAUUCGCCGUUUCGUUCUGCUACCGUGAUCCUAUGACGAAGGGAUUUCGAGUUGCGUGAUGUUUUGCUUUGGGAGAUGAGAAACGUGCGCCGUUUCAGUACACGAAAUUUCUAUGAUUGUAUUUAAGCCGAUGGGAAAGCCCACACAUGUAUGUUUAACGCCCAUUUACUAUCCAAUUUUAUUAUUACUAGAUGGUAUGUCCUCGCUACUCCCGGAAAAUGUUUUAGUUUGAAUGCGUUUGAAUUGAGGGCUUCUUUGUAAAUCAUGUCUAGAAGCCGAAGUUAUUAUUAUUGUUAUUAAAAGCAAAUACUAAGGUCUUAAGAAGAAAAGUAUAAAUCAUAGACAAUGUGGUGGACUUUUGAAGAAGCGGCCUUGUAGAUGUGAUGGUCUUCUUGAAUGGGGGCCUGAAAAUUUUGUAAAGUAAAUAAGGAAUCCAAACCUACUAAAAUGAGUCUUUAUAUUAUUUAUAGUAUAAUAAGACUUACCUUGAAGUAGUUAUAUAACGAUCACCAGGUGAAGGUCUACCUCUCAUUUAUCACUGUUGACCGCUAUAACGCUGAAUAGCAGAUAAAAAUGAACUUUUAGAUAAGUAGUCACUGAAAAUAUUUGGAAUUAGGUUUUAAAGUUGGAAUUUUACUUACUUUCAUGGGAACGAAGACAGUUAAAGAUCUCUUUGUAAACUAUGUUCUUCACUUUUUGUGGAUGCUAAUCUCUCGCUUUAAUGAUUUUUAGUCCUGAUUUGCUUGUUACACGUGGGAGAGUCACAUAAAGUUGCCCAUGUGUGAACACUGGUUUAGGCAGAUAUAAGAGAACCUCCUUUAAACUUUGUCCUUGACUUUUGUUGAUUGUCAUUGCGUAACACAAUCUGAUAGGAAAUUGCUUACGACGUAAGGUGAACGGUAACUUUGUUUCCUCAUGCAGGAGAACAAUCUUUGGGAUCAAAACUUCGUGUCCAACGUGUGAGCCAGUGACUAUGUCUGCCUUAAGCACUCGUUCGCCUACGUAGGUUAGGAUCAUACGGGUACCGUUGCAUAAUCCUUUUUUCUGAUUUAUGUUUCACAGAAGCAUAACUGGGGCCCCAACUUUUAGAGUGAGUUUAUGAGAAGGCAAUCCUGAGUAUUCCAGAGAAUUGAGAUACUCAAUCGCAUAUAAGGCAUCAUUUUGAUCAGAUUGAGUAUCUGAAAUCUCAAAACUAUCGCAGCUGAAGUAAUCUCUUGAUUCUCCGUCUGUGUUAGAGAUUGUGUAUGCAUUGAUUUCAUCAACUGUUUCAUUGCGGGGAGUGAGGAUAGCUCUAUCGGUGUAAGAGCUUUGAGAGAUCUUUAUUUUGUUGAUGUCUCCAUAUGCGGCCUCAACAACUUGUUUUAAAGGGUCAUCUAUCGUCUGUUGAACCAAUGAGUCGUCGACAGUUAUCAUUUGCUCAUGGUAACCAUCAUCUUCAUCUUCUGCUGAUGAUUGUGGUUGACCUUCCCCGACUUUAAGCAGCCACUCUGAGAACUCCUUCUCGUCCUGAUUGACUCGCAUAUUUAUUUUUAAAGAGAACUUGUGGCAUCUAUCCCAAAGAUAGGAAUGACUUAUUGAAGCUAAGACAGUAUCAGCCCUACUUCCUUGUGGAAUUACUGGUAAAAUCUGUCUAAAAUCACCACCCAACAAAACUAUUUUUCCACCAAAAGUCAUAUCCUUUGCACGAGAAUUUUUCUUGGACAUUAUAUCCUUCAACGUCUUGUCUAAUGCUUCAAAAGCAUGCUUAUGAGUCAUAGGUGCCUCAUCCCAAAUUAUGAGAUCCGUUUUCUCGAUUAGCUCAGCUAGCAUUGUACCUGGUUUGAUGUUGCAUAGCUUGUCUUCAGAAAGCUUCAAAGGAAUAUUAAAGCGGGAAUGAGCUGUUCUUCCGUUAGGUAGGAGAAAUGCGGCUAUCCCUGAAGACGCAACCGGUAGAACGAUUUGUUUUCUAGAGCGUAGUCUGGAUAUAAUGGUUUGGUAUAGGAAUGUUUUUUCUGUGCCCCCUGCGCCAUAAACGAAGAAUAGUUUUCCGUCCUUUUUCUCAACGGAGUCUAAGACUGAUUUGUAAAUCGCACGCUGAUCAGCAUUAAGAAGGGUGUACUGUGUGUCAUGUCUCAAAGUUUCCUCUGCAACAUCAUAAUCCAUUUCUUGGGUCCACAAACUGUUCCCCAAUUCUUUUAGCAAAACAGGUUGGAUCUUAGGCAUACCUUUAAUAUCACUUAUCGAGCGGUCAUGCAUCCGCAUCAACUUUUCCACUUCGAUUAAAGUGUAUUUCUCAAGGGUCUCAUCGUCCAGUUCUAGAUUUGAGUGACCUAAAAAUCUUUGUCUCUUGCGGAGUAUGUCAUCACUCAUUGAUUUCCAUGAUUGUUCCCAUAAUAUUUUAGGGCUCACAACAAAGCAAUGGUUCAGGAAUGUGACAAACAUAUCACGGAUUUGGAAUGGGAUAGCCGUUCUAGAAGCCUCUAUCAUACUCUCGAUCCAUUCGACAUCGUUGUCCAAAUAGCCUCGUGCGUAGCAAACCGAUUUGAAAUCAGGGUAUUUAACAUCGUUAAACGUUUUGAGCUCAUCAUAACUUCUAGGACCCUUGAUCUUAUUUAUGAGAAUUCUUAAGUAGUAACGAUCACCUGCCGAUGGGUGAACAACUACGAUUCUCCCAAUGGCUUUUCCUUUCUUACGUUCAGACCAGACUUUGGUAUUGUUGUUCCAUACAAAAUAUUCCGGAAUUUGCACGUAAGUUAAUGUCCGUGCAAAAGCUGACCUUCUGCAUAUGACCAUCCACUCAGUGAACAUUGUCUUCUCAAUAUCUGGCUUGCGGACUACGCGCCCGAGGUUAUCAGUAUCCUUAAUAGUGAUGUUAUGUUCACCUUUUAAGUGAAUGAUAAGCUUCUCAACUGAUGGCUUUCUUUUGUGUAUAUGGAAUGCAAACGUCCGCCACAUACCCUCACAAGCUGAUAACUACCGCGCAUCAAUGAACUCUUGGAUCUCAUUUUGUUGCUUGAUUACUCUCUCCUUUGGCUCGCUAGAGGAUGCUAAGCUAGAUGUAGAUCCCGUAUUCCCAUGCUCAAUCACUGCGGAAGCUCUGUCAACACCCUUGGUUAUGUACUUGAAUAAGUACUUCACAGCACUUGUUCGAUUACACCAUUCAACAUUAAUAUGAGCUUCGUACUUCUUCAAGAGCUUCAAGUUAUGAGGUACAACAAAAUUGUUGUUUAAGAUUUGUCCAUCCUUCAGUACAGACGCAUUCUCGUUUUGCCGCCGACGAUACAAUACAUACCCUGAUUUAUCAAUUGAAGUAUUGUCAUUAUACGGCCGAGGAAACUUUUUUGUGCACACAUUAUUAUCCAUACAUGGUGACUUCGGAUUAAUAACACCACAUGGACCAUGAAUCAUGUGUUUUGGUACUAAAUUGUAACCUUCAGGGUCUUCUUCCUUGUUUGGAAGCUCAGCUGAAAUAUCUCAUCUACUUCCUCUGCACUUGGUGUUCUAGAAGAGUUUCCAAACCACAAUAGUAUAUGUGCAUGAGGGAGUCCUCUUUUCUGAAACUCUAUCCUGUGGAGAGCAGCCGUGUAUGGCUUGAAGUAAGUUCCUUUUUUGAAAUCCUUGAGGAGCUGGUCUAACUUCAUCUUAAAGACUCGACACUCAAUGUCUGGUCUAUCAUUGGGAGAGUCUCCACCAUACUUCAUAAGAUGCUCUUUAAUCUCUCUCCAGUUGCGAUUGGCCGUCAUUGUGAUAAACAAAUCUGGAUUCCUAUAUUCUCUGCAAAUAGCCAUCGCAUCAUGAUAUUUUUUAACUAAGUAUCGGGGCCCACCGGUGAAACUUGGGGGCAGUAUGAACCUCUGUCCAAUAAUUUUAGCAUUAGUAUCACCCUUGCUGACAGCGUCGAGUACAUUAUUGUAGAGCUCGGCUCUCAGUAUAUCUUGAUUAUUCCUUGCCCACCUUAGUCGAUCUUCUUCAAUCGCUGUAUAGAUGUCAAUAAUAUACUGAUGGAGUAGACGGCCGCCUAUAAUCAAGGUCAGUCCUUGGUUAAGACGGGUCUGGAUCUGAGCGGCAUAGAACUGGCGGAUAGUCAGGAAUUUCCUUGUUCUUGAAGUGCCUGUCUCAAGAUGUAAUGGGAUCUCUGGAUGAAAAUCGUACUCUCCAUAGGGAAACAAAAGAGGAUAUUGUAGGGUCAUGUACAAAGGGUGAUCAUCACGUAUCUGCUGCAAAGUGUCAGAUUGAAAUUGGACCACUAUAUCUCGUUCUCCAAUUGUUGAUGACAUAUCCCCUACAAUAAGACCUGCGACCUCAUCUGUACUCGGAAGAUCGUACUCUUUCCCUUUCCCUUUAUCUGGGAGCAAUCUGAUUUUAAACUCCUUCCCAACACUUUCGUAAUAGUCUCGUGCCCGUCGGAAAAUCUUGGCUAAGCAAUUAUUCUUGUCAAUCAUCCUGAUGAGGCGCUCUAGGGUUGCUUCAUCAAGAUUACCAUCUGUUGAGGAUUGCCCCAUUGCAUUUAGUCUGUUUCUGACUUCAUUUCCCGUAUCAAAAAUAUAGAGUUGGAGAUAUUCUGGGAGACGACCUUGUUGGGGUAUAAGGGAACCAAUCUUGUGGUGAGUUUGACCCUGUAUCCGUAUGGUGUAAGGACCAGGUGUACGAACCACACUAUAAUCCAUUUUCAUUCCAACCGAUGUAAAAGCCAGUACGGAAUUAUAGACUCUGAUAGUAUCUCGAAACCACCUAAGCUGGAGAAGUUCUUCUAAUAGAGCUGGGGGUUGCUUGAUAGGCGGAAGUCUGAUUUGGCCAUGGUUACAGCAAAUAGUGAACGUCGGUUCUCCUGUUUUGGAGUCUGUACCAGUGCUCUCCGAAGUCCACAUAAGAGCAUUGCAUUUCGAGCAUGCUACGAUUGGGUUUUCUUCGGUUUGAGAUGUCGAACCUUUGUCUGAGUAAUUUUUUUGUUAAGAAUUGUUAAAUCCUAAGUUUUUUAUUAUUAUAAAAAUUUGCCAGAGUUCUAAAAUUGAUAACCUAUAUUGGGGGUGAUUGGUUGGGUUGUAGGAAGUGAUUUUAGCUUCAAUUUUCAUCUACAACAUUAAAUACUACCAAUCAUGCUUUAUCUUAGUUUUUAAAGUUACAGCCAAAAAACUAAAGUUACGGCAAAAACAUACAAAAAUGGUUGCAAAAAUCUUAUUUUCUAAAGCUCCAUCUUCCUUAAAGCUAAAUCAAAAAAAUCUACAGACUAAAUUUUAAAGUAAUUUUUUUACAGUUACAGCCCGACCAAUCACCCCAUUAUUAUUAGAAAUUUUGGAAUUACAGGGUUUAAAAUAUGCACCUUUCUUUUUUGCUCGAGUGUGACGUAUUACACGGGUUUGUUGUGGAGAAUCUGCAUUUAUGCAUAAACACUGCAUAUUAGAAUAAAUGUAUUAAAUCUUUGGGGGAUUUUUUUAGGUAUAAUGCUUACCUUGCGAUCGUAUUGAGUAUCGUUUUGACAUCAAGAUAGUUUUUCUCAUAUCGCGUGCAUUUUUUGCUUGACUAUUAAGAGAAAAAAUAUUAGUUAUAAAGGAAAUAAAGUAGGAGAUACACAUUAUAGGCUGCUAUCUUACUGUAAGAGUUGCAGUCAUCGCAUCCACCUAAUUGAUUAAAUGCGUAAAAUCAGUUUGUUUGAUGAAUAGUAUUGUAUAAAUAUAAUAUCAGAAUUCAUACAAACUUACAGUCAUAGUAUCUUGGUUUGAAUGUUGGUCGAUCAUUAAUCAUAUGAACUGAAAAUAUACAUAAUUUUAGUAUUAUGAUGAGAAAAUGAUGAUUUUAUUCUUACAAUUAUUUUUGAGAAUAUCGACACACCUUUUGGUUUUGUACGUGAUCCACGGGGACGACCUCGUUUCCUUUUUUGCGAGUGUCCACCUGAAUUAUUUGCAUAGUAAAACCAAUUAGCUGUUUAUCCUAAAUUAGCAAAAAGUCUAAUAAUUAACUUACACUGAUACUUUAAUGUUAUUUGUGAUCUGAUGUAUAGUAUUAAUUGUAUUUGAUAUUUUUAUAGUCAUUUUAAACAUGUAUUUAUAUACAUAUGUAAAUAUAUGUAUUUAUAUACAUAUGUAAAUAAAUGUAUUUUUGUAUAGAUUUUUAUGAAUGUAAAUAAUGCAUGAUUUUUUAAUAUAUAGUACCAAUUAAUAUAUAGUAACAAUUAGUUGGAAUAUAGUUAUGAUUAUUCAUGUGCUUACUAAAAUAUGUCUGAUUUAAAUAUGAGGUUUUAUCUGGUUUCAACCAUGCUAUUUAUUUAAAAAUAGUUCAUAGCAAACUAUUGAUUGUAAAAGGAGACGUAUUCCCUGUAAUAAUUGCUUACCUACUACGUUUUCGAUCAAUGUUUUGGGUGACGCAAAUACUUGUUACUAAUAAUCUAUACUAUUAUUUAUGAAGUGAUUUAACUUAUUUGUCAUGAUUUCCAUGAUUUUAAGUAAUUUUGCAUAUUUAUCCUGUUUUGAUUAGGUUUAAGUUGGGUCAUUAAUUUAUUAAUAGUUUUUAGUUGAAUCCAUAAUUUAUUAAUUUAAAUAAUAUGACUAUAAAAUAUGUAAUUAGAUUUAUAAUUAUUUUGAUUCUGCUUAUGUGUCAUAUUUUCCAUGAUUUUAGUCAAUUUUGCUUAUUUGUCAUGUUUUUAUUAGUUUUUUUGCUUAGUCAUUGAUUUAUUAAUAAUUUUAUGCUGAAUCACUAAUUUAUUAAUCUAAAAAAUAUCCGUAAUUAAUUUUAUAUAUAAUUAAAAACGAAUUUUGAUUAAAUAAUAUUUAAAUGUAUAUGUUAUAUUAAAAUUCAUAUUUUCUUAUUUGUCAUAUUUUAUUAGGUUUUAAAAUUUUAUAUAGGUCAUUAACUUAUUAUUAGUUUUUAGCUGCGUAUUUAUUAAUUUUCAAAAAACCCGUAAUAAAUUUUAUAUAUAGUAAAACAUGUAUUUUAUUUUAAUAAUAUUAAAUUUAUAUGUUAUAUUAAAUAACUAAUUAUAAACUAAUAUAAUAAAAUUGUGAAAAUAUUUUUAAAAAUUAUGAGAAUUAUUAUAUAUAUUGUGUUUCUAUCUGUAAACAAUAUUUUUUACUAUAACACUACAAGAAAACAGCGGUAUUCUGACGGACAUUCCGACGGAAAAUGAAAUCGUCGGAAUAUACCGAGGAAUUUCCGAGGAAAUUCCGAGGAAACACAAAAUUGGGGUUCCUUGGAAUUUCCUCGGAAUAUACCGACGGAAUUCCGAGGAAACCUCAGUCCGUCGGAAUAUUCCGAGGAAAUUCCGAGGAACAAUGUGUUCCUCGGAAAAAACCGAUGAAUUCCGAAUUGUCUGGGUCCUCUCUCUAAACAAACUUCUAGUAAGAAGCCAAUAGAGAUUAUACAACAGGAUUGAUUGCUUAAGGUAUGGCUAAAAUCUAUUUUAAUUGAUUUUUUAAUUUUUUCUAUUUUGUAAAAAUAUCGAUUUGAUUCAUAUGCACAUACGUCUCACAGAAACAUCGUUUCUCUAUCUGAAAACAUGUUCUAGCUAGAUAGGUGAUCAAUUUGCUUUAAUUUAUCUUUGUUUUUCAUCAGCAUAUAAUACGAGCUGAUAACCCCGUUUCCAUAUUCUUAUAGUUAAUUAAUCUCAUUAGUUUUCAGAAAUUUUUUAAAAUACACCGUUGUUAGUCAGUUAUAUUUUUUUAUUUUUUUUAUAUAUAUUCACAUGGAGAAGAUGUCGAUGCCAUGCGCUGCUUGCAAGUACCUAAGGAGAAAAUGCACACAAGCCUGCGUGUUUGCACCUUACUUCCCACCUAACAAACAGGAAGAUUACGCAGCGAUCCACAAGGUAUUCGGAGCAAGCCAAGUGACUAAAAUUCUCAACGACCUUCACCCAAGCCAGAGACAAGACGCCGUGACCUCUCUCGUUUAUGAGGCACAAACUCUUCUCCUUGACCCGGUCCAUGGCUGUUCUCCUCACGUUUACAACCUCCAGCGUCAGCUCAAAGACCUUCAGGACCAGCUUCACAUCGCCAGGAACGAGCUCGCCUCUUACAAUAAUAUCGUCCCACCGCUAGACCUACCUCCUCCGAUUACGUAUCAGCAAAACCAUCACAACCCUAUGUUGAUGCCUGUUGUGUCUAAUUAUGAUGGUCCGUUAACUCAACAGUUACAUGAAGAGGCUCAUCGGGUUGAAUCUGAAAGAAGCGCUCAAGUGCAGCAAAUGCAGCCAAAUGCAGCACCCUCAAAGAGGGAUGACUGUCCAUGACAAAAGAUACCAUCAAAGAUAUCAUGUAAAUAGUUUUGAUGGUAAUGUCGGACGCUUCAUAUUAAAAAUUUGUGGUUUUUGUUUCAUUUGUUAAAGAAAAAACUUCAUGGUUUAGGACAAGUGUGAUCUCUCUAAUAUUCUAAUAGAAGAUGGUUGUUUCUUCUGUGUGCGUGUGUAAUCAUUUUGGUAGCAAUCGUUUGGUUCACAUGCAUAAUUAAGAUAUUAAUCAUAAGUGAGUUAGCUAUAUCUAUUGAUGAGGUGGCAGCACCACGAAGAAGGGAUGUUCUCUUAGAAGAUUGAAAAUUUUAUAUAUAGUGAGAAUUAUUAAAUUUUCUAUUUCUCAUCUAGUGCAUUAUUUGAUUUGAUCUAUACUAUUAUUUAUGAAGUGAUUUAGUUUAUUUGUCAUGAUUUUCAUGAUUUUAGGUAUUUUUGCUUAUUUGUUAUGUUUUAAUUAGGUUUAAGCUCACGGAGUAGUUUUUAGUUGAGUUCAUAACUUAUUAAUUUAAAUAAUAUAACUAUAAAAUAUGUAAUUAGAUAUAUAAUUUUAGUUGAAUCACUAAUUUAUUAAUUUAAGAAAAUAUCCGUAAUGAAUUUAAUAUAUAAUUAAAAACGAAUUUUGAUUUAAUAAUAUUUAAAUCUAUAUGUUAUAUUAAAAUUCUUAUUUUCUUAUUAGUCAUAUUUUAUUAGGUUUUAAGCUUUUAUAUAGGUCACUAAUUUAUUAUUAGUUUCUAACUGAGUAUUUAUUAAUUUUCACAAAACCCGUAAUGAAUUUUAUAUAUAAUAAAACACGCAUUUUAUUUUAAUAAUAUUAAAUUGAUAUGUUAUAUUAAAUAACUAAUUAUAAACUAAUAUAAUAAAAUUGUGAAAAUAUAUUUAAAAAUUAAGAGAAUUAUUAUAUAUAUUGUGUUCCUAUCUCUAAACAAUAUUUUUUAUUAUAAGGUUAGAAAACUAAGAUAUAAAACAGUUUAUAAUUAAAUAUUAGUCAUACAAAAAUAUUUAUAUAAAGAUAUUUAUAAACUAUUUCUAAUAUAUGAGUGUUUUAAAACUUUUAACACAAAAAUAAGUACAUAGUUUGAUGAACGUUUCUGAUCAGGGGAUAGAAGCAAGAGAUUACGUAUUUACCUGUGUUUUCUUGCGGUUGAUCAGAGGGCGGUGUAUCAUUCCGGCAGUACGCUGAAGAUUAGACACAAUCUAUUAUCACUUUGGUAAACAGAUUAGCUUUUGUAAACGUUGAGAUACGAAUGCGUUAGACUUACACAGUUUGGGCGGCUAGUAUUGCAAAGAUGGCAUAUAAUGUUUCUUCAGCUUAUGUAAGAUCAGGAUGAGUUUUGGUGAGAGUUGAUUUUUUUUUUACCCCUUUGAAAGCAUAUACUCGUAGAUUGAUAGGGCUGAUUUUCAGAAUUAUUUUACUUUCCUUUUAUGAUGUAGGAUCUUCGUAGAUAUGGUAAUUCAUAAAGGUAACGUAUAAGAUUUGUUUCCUUUUAUGAUGUAGGAUUUUUGUAGAUAUGGUAAUUCAUAAAGGUAACGUAUAAAAUUUGAAAUCAAGUAUCAUAAGUGGAUUUGGAAAUAAGUUUUUUUUUUGGUAUUAGCAGUAGCUUCUGCAUGCCGACUAAUAUGUACGUAACAUGUUGACCAUAGAAUUUUCAAAAGAUAGAAUGAUGAUAGAAAAAUUGGAAAUUCCAAUUCUGUUCAAUUAAAGAAUAAGGAAAAAAAACAAUGCAAAGUGAAACAAAGUGUGUCUUUAAUCUAGUUUGUUGAUUAUAUGUAUAUGUUUGCCAUAAAGCUUCCAAAGUGUGUCUUUAAUCUAGUGGUAGAGCAACCCUCGUAUAUUAUCUUGGACCUGGGUUCGAAGUGUCCCACAAUCAUAUUUUUAAUGUCAUCCAUUGUCGCAAUAAGAGAUUCGUUUUUAUAAUAGUAAAGUUAAUAUUUUAUCAGUUUUAAAAAUGACCCGACCCAUUUUUCCUGUGCCAAGUUAUAGCUGAGAAAGUUGCCGGGUCGGGACCUUGCAGAAAAAAAUGUUUUAUUGAUUUGAAUUUGUUAAAAGUACUGGGAAUUAUUUGACUGUAUUUUGAUAGUGUUAACAUUUAAAAUAUAUUUAUUUAUUAUAUGUCUGUAUGAUAUCAUGUAUUUUUGGUUGUUAGGUGAAACAAUUUUUUCAUAGAAACUAUAUAUAUGAAGAAUUUGAAUGUUAAUUUGAAUGUUCUAACAUUCUUGCUGUAAACCAAAAACGUAAUUGUGGUAAACGCACAUUAAAAAAUAUAUGUAUAUAUAUGUGAAUGCAUACGUAGAUUUAUUGUCCAGUAGUGGAAAUCAAAUGUUAAAAAAUGGUCCAAAGCUCGUAUAACCUCAUUCAAGAAAGUUACGUGAAGAAAGAAUCGGAGUUACAUAUUAACGUAGGAAAAGCUGUUACCAUUAAGUAACUAAUCGGAAGAUAAUUCAGCACUUAUAUAAUCAUAGUAUAAAGUAAACUAAGAUAAUCUUCACACUGAACAAAUAAAAAGAUCAUAACAGGAUAAGUAAAUUGCUCAAAGGGAUAAGCAAAACCCAUAUAACGAAAAUUGUAUUCAACAAAAACUUAAACACGAAAGGAUAAAACUCUGAAAAUGCAAAUGUCAAGAACGCAAAAUUAUUAGGGAAAAAUAAAAGCACACAUAAACCGCAGCAAACACGUUUACUGCGUAGAAGGAAGAGUUCAAGCUAUAUUAGCCACUCUUCGAACGCUUGGCCUCAUCCGACUCAAGAUAUUCAGCUGCUUUUCUAGCCCUAUCACCUGCAUCACCUCCAACCCCUCCGGAAGGUCCAGAGUCAUCACCCCUAGUCUUUGAGAUACCAUCAGACACUGAUGGAAGAGGAGCACCUGCUGGGAUAAUCUUUGUGACAGUUAUGGUCUGAGUCUUGCUUGUCAAAUUAUGAUCCGAGACCUUCACGAUGAACUUGCGUGUCUGCCCGAUUGUCUCAAGCAAAGCAUCCGGAACAGGCACGCAAUGAUCAACCCCAACUCCAGCAUUAGACUGACAUAAAAACACAACCUACGUGAGUUCAUCUGAUGCUGCCUUCUCAGAAUUCUCAAAUCAAUGAUGUCCUAACUAAUUCGAUAUUACAGAAAGUUAUUAUAUAUGUAUAAACAGGUGUAGAGUACCUCAAAGUAAUUUGCAACUAAUUCUGCUGCAUGCUUGCCAGUCAACUCCUUUCCAGCAUCACCAAGAAUGACAAAAACUGCUUGCUCACUCUUAUCAUAAACAGAAAUCUUCGUCAGGUACCUACAAUGAGAAAAUAUUAGUUAUGAGAGAUGAAAAACAAAUAUGAAUCUAAGAGUACAACACUCACUGAGGAACGCCUGUGACUUCUCUUUUAUCACCCUUCUUAUUGUUGCAAACCAGAGAAGUAGGCCCUUUCACUGCCUUACUAUUGCAGCCACCACAGGAAAUGUAGUACCAAGCAGAACCCUGGAUAACAUCAUCUAUAGUUGCAGUGCAUUCGAACCAAGCAACCUUCAUCGUGGAAAACAAAUAGAAUUCAUAAACACCCAAGUACAUAGAAAUAAUAUAUGAACAGGACAAUUAUUGCACCUUAGAAGUUUCAUGCUUGAUGUAAGAGAAUAGUUCCUCAAGAGUCACUGCCUCAGGCUUAGUGACAACCUCAGCUGCAACUCUAUUAGCAAUUUCUGAGUUUGAGACCAACCUGAACCAAAGACAAAAGCCCAGAUAUUUUAGGAAUAAUACAGCGGUAAAAUAUAAACAAAAGUUGUAGGAAAAAGUAUUUGAAUGCAUAAAUACAUACCAUUCGAGAUAAUCCUUGCUUGGCUGAACAUCGGCAUCCAUAAACACUCGGGAUGAUGACAUCGAAGUGAGAGCAAGGGUCCCUGUUAAUAACAAAUAGAAGGAUGUGAUUAUCAGGUACAUGAUUUAUCAAUGCCUUAUCACGGUUUCUUAACAAUAUACUAUGACCUAUGCAGCUCAAUAAACAAAAGUUGCAGGAAUAUAAACAGAAGUCACAGUUCAAUAAACAACUACAAUAUUUUAGGACAGUAAUAAAUAAUUGAAAGGACAAUCAAAUUGUCCUUGUAGCAAUGUUAACACAAAUAUUCAUUGACAACUAAAAUAACAGUCUUCACGGUAAAUCAAAGGCAUAACUUUUCUCUAAAAGGACAUGAGCUAAUCAUCUAAUGUUACAGAAGAAAAAAAAAGAACAAACCCAAUAUGAGCCCUUACGCAAGAUCUCAUCUCAAAACCUAACCGUUGACUCAAAAGAGCCCUUACGCGUUAAAAUAUAAACAAAAGAACGCUUGGAAUGAUGCGAAUGAUGUGAAUGAAUAUGUCACAGCUAAGUUCUGAAUAUGUGAAUGAUGUUUUUUAUAGUUUUGAUGCUGACCUCCAAUAUGUUUAGGGUUCAUUGUAGUGACCAAAAGAACGCUUGGAAUGCCUCCCUACAAUUUGAAUUUCUGGCAAAAGUCGGAAGCAGCCUUGUUCCAUAGAUACAUCUUCAUCACUGGUCCACUACACAGGGCACAAAUCAUGUGUUAAAAACAGCACACAAACAAUGAAAGCGAGUAACAAAAAGAAAAACUUACUCAUGUGUCUGUAUAUGAACACACAGAUGCCGCUUCUCUGCUAUGUCAGCUUCGUCGAGAACAAUAUGGUCAGUGAAAGUCUGCCCAUUCACCAGCUUCAUAUGACCAACAUAAUCUGUGACAAAACCAGUACGAUCCGCAGACAUCAAAAAAAUAUAUCAAACAUGUCUAUAAGAUGUUCAGUUGUUGUUCACACACAGUAUGUACUCUAAAAAGCUAAACUUCACUUACCAUAGAGAUCAGAUCUGGAGUCACAAUUGGCCUUAAACUCCUCAUAGGUGUGGAACCUGAACCUAUCUUCUGGUAUUUGAACCGGAGGAUUCUCAAGAACAGACAAAGAGGAAUUCCAAAUGAGACGGUGGCACUAUGAUCAGCAACACGAAACUGAUCUUUGCUUCUGGAUCCGAAAAAAUUGAUCAGCUUAUAGACAGAACCUGCUAUCAGCUCAUAUCUCUCAACUCGACUGGCUGGAAUAAAACCUUGAAUAGCAGUUCCCUGUAUAUAUCAUUUAAAAACAUAGAUUAAUAGAAAUAUCAUCCCAAUCGAGCAAUACCAAAUCAGAGAGUAAAAGUAGACAAACCACUUCGUCGAUUAGGAGCAUCUCUCGUCCAAUGAGGGUCUUCGUGUUUGGGUUGCGAGCAUCCCAGAAAUGAAUCAUACGGAACAUCAAAUCAGCUUCGCGUGGGCCGAGAGAAACCUCUCUGAAGAACAUCACUUGCUCGCUAGGCAGGGAGGAGAGAUCGGUAGCAGCGUUUGGUUCCAUCGGAUUGGCAGAUGAAGCAACAGCCUUUCCGUUACGUUUCACCAUGAUCGCAGACGAAGCAGUGGACUUUCCGGUUGAUUUCGCAGUCACAAAGGAGGCGACAGUCUUCUUGCUGGUGUUGUGGUCGCUGGAACCUGGGGAUUUGCCGCUGAGUUCCAUCGGAGUGAGAUUUGAGAGAAUAUUCUUAGUUGUGAUGGAAGAAUUUGGUAAGAGGAGAAGAGGGUUAUAAAUAAAAAAUGGAGAGGUAAGCGAAAGGAAUUCAUCGGAUCAGUUCAAGCGAAGACUUGAUUACAGCAGUUAUUGUGAGGAUAUAAGUGAUGAAGUUAAUCGUCGAAACCGAUUUGCUGAGAAGAAUAAUGGAAGAUGGGGAAGUCGAAAGAGAAGAGAAGAGCAAAAUUAGGGUUACGUCAACGACUGGUCGUCUCUCAACAAUCACGUGAAAGUAAAGAGCAAAUGGGUCCAACCAAUAUUCGCACAGAACAAACGGGCCAAAACGUCGAAAUCCCAAACCAAUAUGAAAGUAACCUGACGUGGACAAACGCUGCUCCAUGAGUGGCUAAUUUUCCAGUCUGACGUGGACCACCUAAGGAGGCUUAGUAUUUGCCUUUUAGUAUAGUUUUGAUUAUUUCUUAAAAGUUAUAUCUAUCUAUCUAUCAAAUUUUUUUUUUCGAAUGAACAACAAAAAUUAUAUCUAUAAAAGGUGAAAAUUCCCAAGAAAAUAGCUGAACUAAUUUACAUUUGCUAAAAAUAUAUUUAAACUAUUUUGGUUCAUUUUUUAAAGAUUGACAUCAUCAGUUUGGCGAUUUAAACCUUUCGAUUUUUCAGAAAUCCCCAAUACAUUAUUUACCAAGUGAUUUUGACACAUGUAAUCACCACAUUAAUUUUGAAAGCAAAAUGAUGACAUGACAUACUAAUAAAGAUGACAUGGUUUGGACUAAUUGUGACAUGAAUAUUUACAUUUAAUGUUGUUUUAUAAUUUUUGUAAGUUUUUAGAAUAAGGUAAUAACUUAUAAAUUAACAUUAAUGUAAAAAUAAAUAUUAAAGUUAGAAAUAUAGUAAUAUAUAAUAAUUUUCGAAAAUAUUAUUUAAUUUUAUUUAAAUAAUUUUAUAAUUUUUAUUACUAAAACAAAUCUUAAAAAAUUUAUGUAUUUUCAAAAAAAAAAAUCAUAUUAUGAUUAUUUGUUUUUAAUAUUUACAAAUUUUAGAUUUAUUAUUUAAUUUUUUGUUUUGUUAAUUAUACAUAACAAAACUUUCCCUUUAUUUUAUUGAAUUUUAAAUAGAUGUUUAGAGAAAUAUUUUUACAUAUAAUUAAAAUAUUGUUAUAUAUAUAUAUAUAUAUAUUAUUAAAUAUAAAUGUAAAGAAAAACAUUUAUUUUAUCUUAAUUUUUACAUAGAAUUAAAAUAUUGUACGCAAAUAAUAAAACCAAAAGAUUAACAAAAAUUGAUUUAUGAAUAUAAUUUUAAAACUUCAUUUCUGCACAUGGUGCAGUAAAACACCUAGUAUAAGUAUUAAUUGGCUAUAAAAUUAAAAUAAGUUAUAUAAUAAAUAGAAAGUCAAAAUAGUUUAUGUAUUUUUGAGAAGAUGAAAAUUAAUUUAAAUAUUUUUUGGUAAUUUCAAAACCAAGAAAAAAACAUGAAAAUUAAGAGAUUAUGUUCUUCGAUCCGAUUUGGUUAUAUUUUCAGGGUUUUAGGUAGUUUAGGUUUUUUAAAACUCUUAUCGAAAUUAACUGACUGAAAAUGUGAUUCAGUUUUUGGUUCUGGAUAAUAAAUUAUUGACCAAAGUUAACUGAUUUUUGGUAUUUUGGUUAAAUUAUUGUUAAAUUUUAUUAGUUCAGUUCUUCCGCUCAGAUAGUGUAUGUUUUGUAACAUUUUGGUAUACCUUGAUAAAAUUUAGUAUCCAUUAUUAGAAAACUAUAUUUUUUUAAUGCUGAGUUUUAUUGAAGAACAAAAUGUUUGUUGGAUCCACGAUCAAGAUCAACAUCAUACAAAAACACAUAGUAUUAAAGAUAGAGUAAAAAUAAAAAAUGCUAGUAGACACCAUAAAAGCUUCAAAAUAAGUUUCAGCUAUAAAUAAAAGAUAAGUUCAACAUUACAUGAUGUCAUCAGGAUGCUACUGCACUUGUAGCAGUGUUACUAUUCAGUGAGCAUGAUCAGAGCUCCAUGCCUUAAUUUUAAGGAGCAAAGUAUUGACUGCAGUGUGAAUCGAAGAGGAGAACAAAAUCUCUCUUGUUAGGACGAUUUCCCAAAAACUUAGAGAGACUCACAACACCAAAGCUACAAGAGGACAAUGCAAGUGGCACAAAGAAGUGAAACAAUCCAUGUACACCAAUAGGGACUAUGGGAAUGCAUCAACAACCAACCAAAUCAUUGUAAGCCAUAUAACAUGUGUCCAAUAAGCUUUAAAGAGAGAUCAAUCUUAAGCAGUAACAUAACAUAGAUUUCAAAUGAAGCAACAACAUCAUAGAGAAGAAGAACGAAAAGAAACAAGAUAAAUAGAGAAGUCAUACCAUCGACCUUCCAAUCCGGCACAGCUCGUUGGUUUUUGGUCAAACACAAAGAAGAAUUAUAUGAAGAACAUCAAAACUUACACCAACACAUAAACUCCAUCACCGUUGAAAUAACUAUCAGAUUUGACUUGAAAUCAAAUACACGAAGAUACUUAAAGGACCGACACCAAACUUUGAAAGCUAUCAUCCAUCGGUCAUUCAGUGAGAGAAGAGAUGAGAGAGAAAAAGAACUUGAAGGCUAGAGUCUGAGAGAGAUAACUGAGAAAAAAAUAAUAAUAAGAAGACUUCUGAAUUGAUUCUUCCAUUAACUGGCCAAAUGAAAACCACAAUCACGCAUUAGUUGACGAACAAAUUGUAUACAUGUGUUAUCAUUCGACAUUUAAAAAUCGAAAACUAAAUAUAUAUAAACUGAUUAAUUUGCUAAUGAGUAACAUUUUUUUUUUUCAUUUGAUUUGUCUGUUCAUACUUCAUCUCACAAACUUCCAACAAAACAAUUUUUGUGCCAUCGAAAUAGAUUGCAGCGAGGUCCUCGAAUAUCUCCAUGCUCUGUGAAACCUCACCCCUAGUUUGUCAUCGGUCGAAUCACAGUCGCCGUUAUGCUUUCAUUUGAAAUUUUCAAAAAAAUACUACCGUUGGAAAAAUAGUACCAACGAAUCUUAAAUUCAAAAAAAAGUAAUUAAAAAAAAUGAUAAGAAUAUAGAAACGGCAGUUUUAUAGAAGAAACGGCAGGCUUUUUCUUCAAAUUUCCAUAACUGUUUUAAAAUAUCUAAAUAAUCCUCGAAACACAUUUCAGUUUUACUUCAUAUAGGAUCAUAGAUUGCUUCUUUGCCGCCAAUUAGUCGUCUUAGGGUUUCCCUUUCCACAAACUCUUAAGAAGCGGCAAAUAAAAAAGUUGGAUGAGAAACUCGAAGCUAGAAAAAUGCGCAAUGUUCGUGUCUCUCAGCAAGAAGAGAUCGAUUCAGAUACUCAUGGCGGUUGGUUUACUGUACAUGCUUCUGGUCACGCUCGAAAUCCCCCUCGUCUACAGAUCCGGAUUCAACACUCUAUCACACGAUCCGUUAACCCGGCCCGAUCAUCUCGGUAGCGAGCUGGAUCUGCAAGAGAGACGAGGAGCUCCAGGGCGUCCUUUUAAGAGCUUGAUUUAUCAUGAAACGGAAUCAGUGGCCCCUGCUCGAGCUGAACGGAGAAGAAUAUCACAAGAGAUCUUUAUAUCCGGGUUGAAAUUUGACCCGGAUCCGAGUAGCAGAGACGAGUCCUUGGAGCUCCAUGAAUCCGCCAAAGUAGCUUGGGAAGUUGGUAGAAAGCUAUGGGAAGAGCUGGAAUCUGGAAAAGCCCUUAAAGCCUUAAAGGAAGAGAAGCUUGGCUCCAGCUCCAGUUCCAGUUCCAGUUCCAGCUCAUGCCUGGUCUCCGUUUCCUUAUCCGGGUCGGAUCUUUUGACACGUGGGAAGGUCAUAGAGCUUCCUUGUGGGUUAACACUCGGAUCACACAUCACGCUGGUGGGGAAGCCACGCGCUGCACACUCUGAGAUGGACCCGGAGAUAUCAAUGGGGAAUGAAGCUGUGAAGGUUUCGCAGUUUAUUAUGGAGCUCCAAGGGUUGAAGGCAGUGGAAGGAGAAGAUCCGCCUAAGAUUCUUCAUUUCAAUCCAAGGCUUAUGGGUGAUUGGAGUGGUAAGCCUGUGAUUGAGCAGAACACUUGUUACAGGAUGCAAUGGAGCUCGGCGCAACGAUGUGAGGGCUGGAGAUCGAGUGAUGAUGAUGAAUCAGGUUAGUGUUUUCUUGCUUUGCUUGAUUGGGUUAUAGAGAAACGGAGUCCAAAGAUUGAGUUUUGUUUCUCCACAGUUGAUGGUCAGCUUAAGUGUGAGAAGUGGGUUCAAGAAAAUGGUACUUCUUAUUCUAAUGAAGAGACUAACAAGGCAACAUGGUGGCUGAGUCGGUUUAUUCCCAGGAGCAAGAAAGUAGCUGUAGAAUGGCCAUUUCCAUUCACUGAGGAGAAGCUCUUCGUGCUUACGCUAAGUGCUGGGUUGGAAGGUUACCAUGUUAGUGUCGAUGGGAAACAUGUCACAUCUUUCCCUUUCCGAACUGUAAGUGAUGCUUUCUUCAAAUGCUCUUUGGAGUAGUAGUAGUGCUGAUAGUUGAAAUUGUGUUUGGUUUUUGAUCAUAUGAAGGGGUUUACGCUUGAGGAUGCUACUGGUCUAACUGUUACUGGAGACAUAGAUGUUCAAGCUGUUUUCGCUGGCUCUCUCCCAACCUCGCACCCUAGUUUUGCCCCUCAGAGGCAUCUUGAUCUCUCAAGAAAGUGGCAGGCCCCAUCAGUUUCUGGUGAAGAAGUUGAGUUAUUCAUCGGCAUCCUCUCUGCAGGUAAUCAUUUUGCUGAGCGGAUGGCUGUGAGGAAGUCUUGGAUGCAACAUAAACUUAUCACAUCUUCCAAAGUGGUGGCUCGGUUCUUUGUGGCAUUGGUAAGUUCAGGGUUUCAUGAGGCUAGCUGUUUAUUUCUUCUAGGUUAUGUUUUGAUUGAUGCUCUAACUUUUGGUAUUAUACAUAGCACUCAAGGAAGUCAAUCAAUGUGGAGCUAAAGAAGGAAGCUGAGUUCUUUGGGGACAUAAUUGUAGUGCCUUAUUUGGACAGCUAUGAUCUAGUUGUCCUGAAAACUGUUGCAAUUUGCGAGUAUGGGGUGAGUUUCUACCCAACUAAUAUGAUUCCCACCUCUACAAUGAUUCAUCAUGGUUUGAAAACUCUUGUUUUGUUUUGGUUUGCAGGCUCAUCAGUUAGCUGCCAAAUACAUAAUGAAGUGUGACGAUGACACAUUUGUCCGAGUAGAUGCAGUUCUUAGGGAAGCAAAGAAAACACCCACAGAUCGAAGCUUGUACAUUGGCAACAUCAACUAUUAUCACAAGCCUCUUCGCCAGGGGAAGUGGGCUGUUACAUAUGAGGUAAUAAACAACACAAAAAAAGGAAAAACAAAGAUAAAGUUCUGUACUAUUAGAAAAACAUUCUUACACAAUUUAUUCAAAUGGUUCUCCAGGAAUGGCCAGAGGAAGACUAUCCACCUUAUGCCAAUGGACCUGGCUACAUAUUAUCAACAGAUAUCGCUCGUUUCAUCGUUAAAGAGUUUGAGCAACACAAACUAAGGGUAAUAGACCAUUUUCAUUUUGGAAAAGAGUAUCAGAGACGAGAAGAAUCUAGAGCAAAUGUAUGUGAUGUGUGAUUCAACAUCACUUUGUUUAUGUUAUAGUUAUUCAAAAUGGAAGACGUGAGCGUGGGAAUGUGGGUGGAACAGUUCAACAACAGCUUGAAACCUGUGGAUUAUGAGCACAGCAUUAGCUUCUGCCAGUUUGGUUGCAUAGAGAAUUACUUAACGGCUCAUUACCAAUCGCCAAGACAGAUGAUCUGCUUGUGGGGCAAAUUGGUCUUGACGGGCAAACCUCAUUGCUGCAACUUGAGAUGACCCAACUGUGUAAGUUGAGAACAUCAAUGAGCCUUUGAUGUAUGUAUGUAAGUCUUUGCCUUAGAACAAAUCAAUGGAUCCGUUGUUGAAUCAUUCAUUCACUUUUUUUUUGGGGGUCAAAAUUGAAUCAUUCAUUCGCAUUCAUUCUUUUUGAUGAUUAACCUCCUGAAACCGAAAUUCAAAUCGAAUAUUCGUAUAUGCAAAUGUUUUAGCUUUUACAAGAAUAUCUUUGGAGAUGUAAACUCUUGAGGGUUGUUGGUAAACUGAAUACUACAAUGCUAUCCAAACAGCAGCUGAAGAAAAACAAUCUAUACUUCUUCUGUAGAAGCUGCAAUCUUUCUAAUUAUCUAGUGACUGUUAAAAAGAAUCCAAAUUUUAAACAACAAAUAUAAAUAAUGAAAAUGAAAAGACAUAAUAAGAAGCAAUGAUAAAUAGAGAUUCAAAAUUUAUUUAAAAAAUAGAGAGAUUCAACGCUUAACAACACGUUGCUUAACAAAAACAAACAUAGACAAGCAAAAAUUUGAAUUAAAGGAUUCAGUCUCCAUGAUCAAUCAAUUCACACUCGUGAGACUAAAGCAAGUUGCCGCCCUCCUCAACUCCUCCUCCCCUAUUUCAUCUAUAGGUUCCUUCAAAGAUUCACCAGAGCUGCAACAACCAAAAAAGUCAGACAUGUUUUCAGAUACUUUUUUUAGCUCAGGUACUACGUACAAAGAAAAGAAAAAAAUGCAUACCUUGAAGCGUACACUUCUUUCGUUUCCGUGAAAGAUUGACUCUCAUCGAUGAUUUCUAGGAAUUGAUGGAUUUCAUCGUAGUUCUGAUCAUCAACUUCUUCCUCUUGUUGAUUCGAUGCCAUCUGAAGAUUAACAAGUUGAGACUGUAUCGCCAUCACACUGUUGUUGUUCUUCGUCUCGCUACAAUGCUCGUUUUGAUUGAUGAAUCCAUAGUUAUGAUGAUUGUAAGGAAAUUGAUUCUGACCCCAAGCCAAAGAAGUAUUAUGAUUGUUGAGAACUUCCUUACAUGAAUCUGGAAUGGGAUUGUAGUCAUGGUUAUUAACCUGAUCACUACAAUAAGACAUAUGAGGUUGUUGCUGCUGAGUUUCAGAAACCGGACUGAAAAAUGGUAUUGUAUUAUUGCCUUGGUUAUUAUUGUUAACAGGAAGUCCCAUUCCCAAAUCUAACUGGGAUGUGAGAUCUUCUUGCUUUUCACCAAUCUCGUGUAUCAUCAUAUUAUGAGGGUUAGGAUGAUUUUGACCACUACGAUAGAGCUGUAAUUGGGAAUUGACGGCUUUGAGCUCUUCUUCGGCGACCCAUAUCAUGUAUUGGAGUUGUUGUGUGAUUCCAAGGCAACCAUGGACAGGAUUACGAUCACGAACAUAAGACUGAAAGAUAAUUGAUUUCAUAGCUUCUGGUCUCUGAACUUCGUCUAGGUUCUCGAGUAUUUUAACAAUGCUUCUAACGCCGAAUAGCCUAUGAACGUUUUGGAAGAGCUUUGGUUGUUCGGCUGGGAAGUACGGCGCGAGUGGGCAGUCCGCGGCGCAGCGUCUGCGUUGGUACUUGCACGCAGCACAAGCACCACUCGUGCCUCCUUUCAAUGUCAUGUAAACGAUGAGAGAGAUCAAGAGAAGAUCCAAAAAUCUCUCUAAUGACCCUAUGGGAUUGUGGAUGGUUUUUAUUUGGCUCAUUCGAUGGGGGAAAAUCAAAAAGUAGACUGGGAAUUAAAAAAAGAAAAACAGAGAGUGAGGAUUUUUAAUGAGAUGUACGUGUUUGUGUUAACGUUUUUGGGUAGAUGAGAAAGGUAGAAGGUGAAGGAGUGGAGUAUAUAAGCGGAUUUUGCUGAGUGGGGAGAAGACCAAGCAAACAAAAGAUAGUACGUGCUAUUAAGUUUUAAAAAGAAAAUGUAAAAAAAAAAAUCCGGAUCCUUCGGGACAGUUAUCAUUUAUGAUUUCAUUUUUUAGUUUGUUUUUUCUUUUCUAAGAAUAGAGUUACUUGAAGAAUAGUUGUUUUAUAAUCUUUGUACUUAAAAUAGAGUUAUAUACCAAUGAAAUCUUAUUUGUUUCGAUACUAGAGAGAGACAGAUUUUACAAUUUUGAAUUUUGGAUUAGAUUUGUAUUAACUGAAUUUAAUAAUUUGUCCCCCAUGAAAAAAAUGGAUAUGAGAUUUUAAAUUGGAUUAUGUCUUAUCUAAUCAUAUUUAGUUGAACAAAAUAAAGCCAAAUUUUUAUUCAACAUUGAUUUUAUUAGAAUAUUCUUUUAAGUUAUAUAUAUACUUUGUUAUUAAAAUGUUGUGUUAAAUUAUUUGAGUUAUUAUUAUAAAAUCAUAUAUAGUAAAAAAAACAUGUUUCUAAUUCAGAAGUUGGGAAUCAGUUUUGGAAAGUACAUGUCCAACCUUCAUUUUCGAGAAUGUGAAUUUUUAUUGGAGUUAAAUCAAAGUUCUUAACUAAACCUAAAGACUUGCAAUGCAAGCAACCGCAGGAUAUCUCUCUUACUUGCCUUAUUUCACAAGGAACAACAAAAGAAUUUUGGUUUAUCUUUGAACCUCCCGAUAGGACGAUCAUUAAUUUUGUCUAUGUGUUUUCUUUUUGUUUUCCUUUUCUGCUGAUUAUUUUUGUCAUGGUCUGAACUUUUUAACACAUUGAAUAUGAACAUAUUAAACAGUCUUCUGUACGUGAAUCAAUUUAGAUGCUUGACAAAAUUAAGAUACAAAUGAAGUUGACAGGUUUGAAUCAUAUUAGAUGCUAGACAAAGAAAAAAAGCAAAUGAAAAGUUGAUCUUUUUGGGAACUUAUUGUGAACCAACAGAUUUAAGGAGCCAGAGUGGACGUCAAGGAUCCUCCUACAGGAGUUGAAGCGACGAUCUUACUCUCGGGGAACCGAACCGAUAGGCAUGUUCUUUUUACGGUCGACGCAGCGGUGAAUGACCAAAAUUAUAACUAACUUCUUGCCCAAAUAUGUGGAGAACACCGCUGGCAGCCGUACUUUCCACCAUUAAAAUCAGACGCUCUCGUUUAGCUAUCACUGUUUUACACAGCGUCACGGAAAAUACCAGCGGCCCUUGUAAAAUGUAAUCGCAGCGGCAGCUCGUUUGUUCUCCACUAUUUAUUUUCCCGAUUUUGAUGCGUAAAUUUUGAGACGCUGAACGCUGCGACAGCGACCGUAAAAAUAACAGGCCUGAUGUCAAUCUCCCAACAACAGCAAAGGAUGAAAUCUCCUGCUGUUGUUGAGUUUUGCAGCUAGUUCUGUUUAUGGAGAUCAGUUGGAAACUAGCUGUUAUGAGAAUGUACUGCAGUUUUUGGGAUCUCAUCUGCUUCAAGCUCUAUGUAUGUAGAAGACGAUGCUGGUUCCGAGGACAAACCUAUGAAACAAUGGAAUGAGAUUCUCCUCUUUGAUGGGCCCAUAAUUUUAAUUUUUAUAAGAUAUGUAGUAAAAUAAUUUUAAUUUUUAUAAGAUAUGUAGUAAAAAUUUCUAUAUAUUUAAUAAAAAUAAAAUAAUAGAACAUAUCAAAAAUAAUUUUUAUAUAAACUAUUUAAACUAAUGCAAAAUAUCAACACAAACUGUUUCAGUUAGUUACUUAUAUAUAUCUUUUCAAAAACUUAUAAUUAUUACAACAAAUAUUUAUUAAAAAAUUAAUAUUUUCUAAACCUUGUAAACUCGGAAUUAUCCUAGAAUAAAAGUACAACAUUACGCAUUGUUAAUCAGCCUUUUGCAAAAAGAAAAAAAACAUAUUAUGUAUUUUGCAAAUGUACAACAUUUAUUCUCUUUUGGUUUUACAAGAAACUGCUUCAACGAAGUGGUCAGAUCAACGCUACAUUUCCAGUCCAUCCAAGUAUCUAAAAGAAUAUGAAUAAGAACUUAUUUAACUCUCAGACACACACAUAUCCAAAGUAAGAUCAUAUUAUAUAGAAUAUAAAAAUUCUAUUGAGAUGAAAAAGGGCUAGUCUAUGCAAAGAUGUACUUGCCUCUCAAGCUUAGUCCCUUGCAGAUAACACCUUUUUUAUUGGACGAGACUCUAUGCAAUCUUUAUCCUAACUUCCUACUUCUAUUUUAAUACUAGUUAGAGACAGAUCUGAUCUAAAGAAACCAAAACAAGGAAGAGUGCAUAGAUUUAUAUGAAUCGAAUCCUCAAUGUGACAAUGACUUAACCAAGAAAACUACCUUUGGAUUCCGUAACAACUCUUGCAAUGAAAAUACUUUAGCUUAAUUAUAAGACAAAAUCUUCUUCUCCAUCCUCUUUCAACCACUGAUGAGUAUAUCACAUUUUUCCUCUCGCUCUGAUUGUAAAAAAGUACUUACUUCCUUUUUAGUAUGUACUUGGGAGAUCUUCUAAACCGUAGCACCAAAUCUCCACUUACUCUAUUUUUUGGCUUCCCUUUUUCUUUUUGGUUAACGUUGCUUCUCGUAGAGAAGAAGCUGUGGCUGCAAGUGUCCUUUCUUGCACAUAGAAAGUACAUCACUCCAGCUACCGAUCACCUGAAGAUAUGUUAACACAUCAAACGGGUGAUAAACGUGGAAUCCUGUAUAUGCCUUCAAAGUCAAGUGUAUUUUCAAAACUCUUAUUACCUUCACAGUUUUGUCAUCGUACAUGAUCCACCGAUCGUGUUCAUGACUAUAUGCAAAGCAAUGAUAAUGCUGUCCAUAAUAGCAAACCUGGAGUUUGAGAAAGCGCAGAACAACAACGUUAAGAUCAUAGAAAGCCAGAAGAAAAACAUAUAGUAAACACGUACCACGGAAGCUAAGCUAUAUAUGCUCUUAGGGUCAAGACCACGGUACAUGAUGCUGAUGUCUAUUUCGGUAUUCAAGGCUGCAAGAGUAGCUGCUAUGUCUUCUACACUCUCGCAUGUGUUUUGCCACCCUAAAACUGCCAACCCCCAAAAAUGUUUGGACACAAAUAUCAGUGAUCUGAAAAGGCUAACAUUCAACAGAAUCCCUAGGAAAAGAAUUACCUGCAGUAAAAACAUGUGGUGGGGUGUUAAGAAAAUGGCGGAUAUGGUUGGGUUUCCCACACCCACCAGUUUCAGGAUCACAGGCUAGUUGGUGGUUCAUCUCGACAAGAUUUAGGAGUUCAUCAAAUGCAGUCUCGGGGCAGGUAACCUAUUGGACAUAAUGUGAGCAAACCAACAGUGAAUUAUGAAACCAAUGAACACUUGCAUGAUUAGUAUCUCUUUUCACCUUCAUGUUCCGUAGGGCACUAGCGUUGAUGUUAUGGAAAAAGGAAGUGUACUUCAUAUGCCUCGACUCCAGCUCACAGCUGUUGCAAUUCAGUUGCUCAAAGAUAUUCAUUCCAAACAGAGUGUGGGCAAUACAUGUGCGGUUGGCACAGUCCCAUGAACCUGUAUAGUUGCUCUCUGAAGAAUCUGUGUCAGACACGCUUGAGCUCUGAGCAAAUGAACGAUGUAGGCAGUCGAAAAUCACAGCCAAUACUUCUGAAGCAUCGUUCAUCUGAGCCUGUCCACCAUAUGACGCCCAACUUUAGGCUUCUUGAUGCAACGAAAAUACUCUGUAUUAGGAUAAAUAUUUGAAACCAGAACAAGUUUAUUACCUCUUGGAAGAAACUGCUAUCUGGAUACAAGUUGCUCAACGCAAUCCUGAGUGUUGAAGGAGUUACAGGUUCUUUUCGUAUUUCCCUCGAAGCAGCGCUUAAAGCAGUAAGAACUUCAUACAAUGAGCAGACGACACAAGGAUCUCCAACGUGAUGGUGAUCUAACAUUGAACUACGCAAGAACUCAGCCCGAAACACCCCCAGAUUCCAUAGAGACUGAGAUCAAAAUAAAACAACAUUAAAAGUAUAAAUCUUUCAAGCUGUAUACUGUAGACAUUGAUACCAGAAAAAUCAAAACAGUUUUUGAGAAUGGAUGUUACCUGUAUGAUAACAUUCAAAAAGCAAUUGUAUUCCCCAACUUCAUUCUGAAGACCUGUGCCAAAUAUGCCAACUUCGGUAGAGGUCGGAGACUCCUUUGUGGAAUCAGAAAUUUUAUGACUGUUUACUUCCAGAGGUGUCCUCAAACAUGACGUCAUAUUUCUACCUCCUUGGUACGUAUCUGGGUUGAAAAAAAAUGUUAUGGCGUCAGAUGCUUCAUAUCAGGGCUUUUGUCAGUGUCACUCCAAAAUGAUCACAGAACAAAUAUGAUGAAAGUGAAAAAAAGGUAACUUGACAUCUAAAAUAAAAGAACGUGUCCUGAGAUGGAGAGAAGGCUGAGUCAGACAAUAGACAAGAAUGGACACUUGCAAACAAUCCCAAAGGUUGAUAUAAUAAAUAAGCAGGGAUGGUUGGGAAACUACCAAGGCUUUGACGCACUGCCUUUUUAAGGUCUGCUUGAAACUUUUCUUCUUCAUCCUCUUCAGCUUGUAGUUGUCUUAAUGUCUUUGUUUCCACAUCUACAUCACCAGGAUGAAAUAUCAUGUUAGAUAAGAAUUGCAAUAAAUCAAUGUGAUGUCAUUCUUCGUUGACAGAAAAGUAAAAACCAAGAUACAGUAAUUAAAGUAGCUCCGGCUUUAACAAAAGUCUAACUUUAAUUAUAAUUCCAAAGUUCCAACACGUAACAACAAUCAUUCUCUGAAAUCAUGAGGCAGAGAGAAGAAUAAAAAUGAAAAAAGAGACCUACCACCAUUGCUACGCAGAGUUUCAGAUUCUCUCUCCUUGCCGGUGCUCUCAGAAGGUCCAACUACCUUGUUAGAAGUUUUUUGGCGUCUACCCCUCCUCCCAAUGCGUUGAUCAGAUUGUAAAACACCAGCUUGGGUAGCUACCCCAUUAGCCACUACUGCAAUAUACAAAACAAAACAAUAUAAGCGCAUCAGAAAGGUCACUAGAGACAUAUAUUCAAAUUCGAUGACAUUGGUAACCUUUUUGGGAUUUCACAUCCUGAACUGUUGCAGCAUCAGAUAUCUCACAAUGAUUUGUUGACCGAGAGUCACCAUUUCUAUACACGUGGGUUACUUCCAAGUCAUGAGGUAGUCCAUUUCUUUGAACCAGGUUCUCCUGGUAAAGCCAAGAAACCCAAAAAUUAAAUUGAAAUGAUCACUCGCGACACUACAACCUUGUCACUCAAUGGUUACCUGACUUAGUGAUUUUUCUUGUUCUCGUAAAUCUAAAUCAACAACGACACCAUCUCUGCAAAUAUCAUGCACUGCCUCUGCAUCACUCGUUGUAACUAAAGAGCUGUAUUUCUUUUGUUGUUCUGCAAUAUGCUUCCCCUUGGCUUCAUCCUCAAUUCUUCUUUGAUACUCUAGAGUUUCUUCAAGCUUUAUCUCAUCUAGCUCUAGCUCUGUUCGGCGUCUGCAUUCCUCUUCCUGUUCUUUUAAAGAUUCAACAGCUUCAGGAACAACGUCAGCCUCUGAGGGAUCACCAAAAGAUGCAACCGAAGGGAGGCUGGAACAAGAAAUCAUCAAAGAAAAAUCAUUUACCACCAAUUUUCAGGAAGAAAAUAAAUUAUCCCGGUUCAGUAUUUAAACUAAUUUUUUUAUAUAAAAGAUCUUCACCUGUGUUCAACUGAAUCAACAUUGAAGCGAUGGUCGUUUCCAACAGAAGCCUAUAGCAAAACAUUAAAGCUAGUUACAAAUAUAGACAAGAAAUAGUUAAAAAGUGGACAACAGAUUAGUUCUAACCUUCGAAUCUUUCAGUUUUUUAGAGUGCUUAUUCUUUUUCUUAUCCUUGGGCUUUUCUUGGGUGUGUUUCGAAUGAUCAUUUCUCCCUCGGGCCUCCUUCUUAGAAUCAAGGGCGAGCUCAACGAGAAACGCUUUGCUUGCAGCAUCAGACUUCUCAGUGGCAUCUUUCUCUGCCAAUGCCUCCAAAUGUGCCUGGAAAGAGAGAAAAGUGGAAUCAAAACCCGAAAGAACACUACACCUAAAGGGUAGGAAAGAUAACAAGGUCUAAUGAGUUAGAUACUUACACGCAUGUAAGACCUGACCAACGGUAACAUUACUAUCUGAUAAUCAUUGGAUGAAGCAGGUCCAAGCUUUAGCUCUAAUUGCUGCACCACAGUAGCACCGCGCAUCAUUCUUGCAUCGAUUCUGUUAAGCUGUAAUACACAUACGGAGUAUUUUUCAAGGAACAAGGCAGUUAUCAGUUAUUCUCAGUCGUGUUGUGUAAAGAUAGAAAAGGUUACCUCUGUAGACAACUGCUCCUUCUGUUUCUGGAUCGCAGUCUCUAUGAAACUGUCAGCUUCACUAAAAGAAUAUUUCAUCCCCCAUUCAUCGGCUUCACCAGAUUCUAGGUCACGUAGCUGAGAACUCGUGCAUGUAUAUGAUUCUUCAUAUCCAAACUGAUUGCGGUUAAGAGUGUCCGCGUCUCUCAAAACAUUUUUUAUAGCUUCUAAUUCAAAGCUACUACUAAUAAACUCCAUUUCAUGGGCACUCUCGUUUAGCUCUUCCCUUCGUUUUCUCAGCACAGAUUCAUAGCUUUCAUGGGUAAAGUCCGGUGAAGUCUCUCUUUUCCGGCCUUUUUCAAGACAAAGGUCCUCGACAGUUUGAAGUGCUCCCUCGUAGCUUAAGUGCUCGCAUUUUCUCUCGAAGAGGUUCUGCAAGUCACGGACCUCCUUCUCAAGAAUCUCCAUGGUCUUUUGUCCUUGAUUUGUUUUCUCUUCCACUGUGCGCAUCCAAAUCGCAGUUUGUUCCCCACUAGAGGGUCCUGAGAAGAUCCAUGAUAGAAAACCAUCCGCACCAGAAGACACAUUAUUGCCAUUAGCAAUAUCUUCAGAACUGGCAAUAUCUCCAUUAUUCAAUGCUGAGCCCAUAUGUUUGUCUUGGAUGCACUCUGAGCCAAGCAAUUUUUCAUCCAGAAGAAGGCAUGACCCUUCACCAUCAAGACAAAUCUCUUCUGUAAUUUGAAGACCCAGGUCAACAAAAUUAUUAACUUCAUCGUUGGGGUUACUUUGUUCCGAAUAUCGACUCACCCCACAUGCAUGUGACAAGUCUUGCAGGAAUUGAAGAAUUUUCUUGAGCUGGGAAGCUCCCAAGAAGCGUAUGCAUAUGGGUGACUGACACAAACCACGAUUUAAGAAUUGCGAAACCGAGGGUAGAUUCCGUAGUUCAUCCAGAGUAAACUGUAUCACCUUAUCAUAAUGGCUGGUAGCUAAAUAACUGUGUUUGAUAAGUAGCUCAAAUGCUGCACGGAUGCUUUUAAGGAGCUUUGUACGUUCAGGAUCAUCAGAUAUCGGCCAUUCAUCAGGAAGAUAAAACGGAUUUGGCAGCCUACCCUUUUCCGACUCAUUCUUCUCAUAACCGUUGCAAGCAUCUCCAAUUUUUUCUUUCUCUGGUGAAGUAUCAUUCCAUGCAUCCUGGAAGCAAUCGUCACCAUCGUCCAUGUAAUCUUCAGCGUAAAACUCAUUGAACUCAGUAUUUUGGAUUUUCUGCUGGCUGCAACGCAAUUUCACCGCAGCAGGAAAAUCCAAUGGUUUCCAUGGGGAAGUAAGAAGCAUCUCAAUCCUCUCACUAUCGAGACUCUGAGGCAAAACCAUUUGCAUCUUAGGCAAAACGUUACCUAUAUGCUCCCCUACAAUAUGCUGCAUAUAAGACUCAGAAUCCUUGAACUUUUCACUACACUUGCAGCAAACCCAAAACCGCCAAGUCUUAUUAGCUUCACAAAAGGACAAAGCUUCAGUUAUUAUAUCAUUUGCAUCGCCAUCCUUGGAUGCGCUAAAGUGACUCUUAAGAUCACUAACCUUAAUCCUAAGCAAUUCUUUUUUCAUUUCUUUGCCUGUAGACUCCCAAUAUGAUCUAACCCGAUCUCUUCUCUCUACUGUAGAGUCGUUCUUCCUUGCAUUUCCAUGCUUUCUCCUCUCCACGCUUCUCUGACCGGAGCCUAAUGCUGGAUCUGAUCCCUUACUGUUAACACUAUCUACCGAGGAAGAUUCUGAUUUCUGCUGCAACAACCUACCUGCAGCCACCCUCACUUCAAUCUCCUUCCUCCUCUCUUCAAGAGUCUUGGUAGCUUUCUUAAUCUCGUUCGGCCUCCUGGUCUGAACCAAGUUACUCUCAAUAGGAUCCUCAGCCAUCUUCCUCAUGUCAAACAACCGAAACUCCCCUUCUCCAUUUCUCAGAUGUUUCAUCCAAGUGGACAACGAACCAAGAUUAGACUUCUGUAUCAGUGACCUGAGCUCAUCCUGAACAUUCGCAAUACGAGCCUCAGGUGUCAAUAUCUUGUGCUGACUCUCGUCCUGGAGACUAUCUUUAGCAGGAUCGAUUGGAUUCUCAAUGGAGAGGGCUCUGUGACACUCCUGCAGAACCUCCUCGUACUCUCUACCAUCGCUAGCAGCCUCGUAAAGCAGGUUAGCAUAAAAAUGGGCAAACUCAAUAGAGUUGGGAGAUAGCUCCACAGCUUUUCUAGCGGAUUCAAUAGCGCUACGGAUGUACUUCUGUUUAGUAACUGCGUCUUCGUAUACAGAAGAAACCUUCACGCACACAGUACCUUGGACACGGUGAAUCAGGGCAGAGUGUUGGUGGCGAGAGCAUGAUUCCUUCAUGAGCCGAAUCGCCUUGUUGUAGCUACCUCGCCGGAAUGACGUCAGUGCCUUCUCGCACUCGACCUUGAUUUCAGCCAAAUUUGACGGCUCGUCGCCAUCAUAGGAGGUACAAGCGGAAACCUCAGAGGACGGCUCAGCCUCCGCCGCUGAAGAAGAUAGCGAUUGCUUGGAGCGAGGCGCGGGGGGUUUCUUCUUCUGACCCAUCGACGACGAUUCAGUUCAAACCUAAUUUAAUCCCGCAUGAAGAAGAGAUGCGUCCAACAAAUGCUCAAAGACGGUUAAACCGGAAAUUAAGUUGCAGUCAGCAUACGGCGUCGCGUCGGGGAUUACGAGAACGUAGUACGACGGAGAGGGUUGGUGAGGUAGAAGAGAUGGAGAGUAGAAGAAGACUCGUUGUCGUCUCUCUCUCUCUCUCUCUGUGGGGUGCGAAAAGGGGAUUGAUUUAUUAACUGAGUGAGAUUUACAUCGCGAUUAUUGAUUUAGAAGAGAUAUAUUUGUUCGGUUUAUUUCAAAUUUUGUGGUUUGGUGCGGUUGAACCGUCUGUUCCUUUCAUGCUACAUUUCUCUAAUUUAUCAGUAUACUAGAUUUUGGAAUUAAAUAAUUUUUAUAUAAACUAGACUAGGGUCGGCCCGGACUACGUGUAGCGACCGUGUUCCGAAGAUCGAUGUUAGGAUGAUAUGAGGACUGACUGGCCGAACUGUGAGAACGUACUGAAUGGAUUGGAUGAUGCUAGAAAGAGCUGAUCAGAGUUCGAAGGACUUUCCGUGGGUGGAUGGGAGAACUUGGAUCGGCGCCUGAUUAGUAGCGACUAGAGCGGAACCAUGUACCCGAUUAAAGCUAGGAACAGAUCUGUUUUUGAGCCAACAAAGCUCCAUCAGUCGGUCUUACGCUCGGGUUAUUGGACAGGCCGUUCAGUUUGUUGAAACUCAGGAUGUUCGGGCAACUCGAUGAAAAUCCAGGCAAAGCGGAAUUUUUGGACAGCGAUGGUCGGAUCCGGACAAGUGUUGUUGGAUUCGGACAAUACGGUUGAACUGGUUGGCUAGACAGCGAUUGUCUGAAAUCAGACAAGACAGUUAAGACUGUCGGCUAAGCUGAGAUGAGCUGAUUCAGUAGUAUCAGUCUGAUUCGGAUAAGGCGGGUAGAGUUGUCGACUAGAUCAGUCAGCUCUAGCUCGAGUUUCGUCUAAGUAAAACUGGCGGGAAGAGUUAAAGUCCGAAAAGGGGAAAAACUCGCGCUGGAACGCUUUGGAGCGCGGGGUGGCGGUUACGGAUUAAGAGCCGCGAGUAAAAUAAGCGGGAAUGGUUAACUUGGCAGUUUUUCGGGCCUAGACCGCCCAACUGCCCAUUUUAAUCGUCUCCUUUGUUUUAUUUUUCCAUUUCUGUACGGAAAACAAAAAGAAAGAAUCAGAGAGAAACUCAGAAGGAGAAAAGUCUGAUUAAGAGAGAGUUUUCGAUAUUUGGCUGGAUUGAUCAAGUCCGAGUCAAGAAUGAUCGUCUGUUGGGUGAAUCCGACUGUCUGAGCGUUCGAAGAUCCGACGGAAACCGCUCAAGAGGUGUCAGAAGAAACCGAAUCAAACAGAACAAACCGACUCUAAGAAAAAGGUGAGUGCGUGACUGUAGCCUAUCGUACUGAAUCGUAGUCUGAUUGAUAGGAAUGUUCUAUGUACUGAUUGCUUGUCUAAUUUGAAUUAUCUGCUAAGUUCUGGCUUGGUCCGAACAGUCGGUUCCUUCCAUCGACGCAUCUGGAUCAGAUCAUGCGCCUAGAGCCGUAUUGGCCUGCUAGGGCUUGACUGAAUCUGAUGGCGCUUUGGCUUGGAACGAUUGGGUCGGCUAAGUAACUGACUGAUGAUAAGCAUGUCCGUUUAUUGACUGAUUGACUCGAUUUCCUUACUUGGUUGAGUGGGACGGAAUGACCGCUCUCACUAAGCAUACUGUUUGCUUAUGCCUCCUUGUUUGGAUGCAGAUCGAGACCAGACCCGAAAGGGUAAAGACAUAGCUUGAUUGUGGGACAAGGGCAGGAAGGAAGGAUGGUGGGUUUGGGUAGAUAUAGGACGAGAUUAACAUGUAAUAGCCUAUAGCGAACUGACUUGUUAACUCGUAUCUCAGAUUAUCUAUUCAAAUCGUAUUAUGCUUUACUUAACUGUCUGAAAAAGAACGAACACUCUGAAAUAAUUCUAAGUAAGGAAAAAUUUGAAAAUUGCCCAAGUCUGAUCGAGGAAGUCGAGCCAGACUCGUACUGAUGUUACGAAAAAAUGGGUCGGGUCAUUUCAAGUGGUAUCAGUGCGGAGUCGAGUUCUAGGACAAUCUAAGUAUAGUGGGUUAUUGGGGCAAACCAUCCUUCCAAGCUUGCCGUCUCGCGGUAAAUUUUGUGUUCCGUGUCCUGAUCCCAAGUUAGUUUUGACUAACUUACCUGUGAUCUUGUUGCAGAUGGCAAAAAGUAACCGUAACACAAGAAGGACUGUGAAUGAGACCGCUGAGGGGUCUGCGAGCAACGUGGCCAGGAAUGAAGCUGGUACGAAAGAGGCUCGGAAUGCUACUCAGAAUGCAGCGAAUUUGAACAAUGCUGCAGCGGCUGGUGCUGCUGCUGCUCCGGUUGGGUUGGAAGCCGUUUUGGCUAUCUUGGCGCAAGUCUUGGCAAGAUUGCCUGCUGCGGCGGCACCUCCAGUGGCUCCACCUAUUUCGGAGGAAGUGGAGAACGUGGUGCCUGAAGGAGAGGAGGCACACGUUGUUAGGAAUCCGUCUUACCUCAAGGUUAUGGACCACAUGCAGAAACUGGGAACAAAGUUCUUUUCGGGUGGUUCCAAACCAAAGGAAGCAGAUCAAUGGAUUGACAGGAUAGGGCGAAACUUUAAGUCAAUCUGUUGUCCUCUUGCUUACAAGAAGGACAUUGCUGUCCACUACUUGGACGGUGAUGCGCACCUCUGGUGGCGAGGUGUAGCGGCUCGGAUUGGUGUUGAGCAGUGCACGUGGGCCAACUUUAAGACCGAAUUUCGUGGGAAGUAUUUUCCGCCGGAAGCAUAUGAUCAGCUCGAGGGAGCUUUUCUCAGACUGGAACAGGGAACUAUGACUGUAAGGGAGUAUGAAGCGGAAUUCAACAGCCUCAAGAAGUAUGCUGGGCGUGAGGCUGGGUCGGAAAUCUCCUCGGUCCGCAAAUUCAUGCGCGGACUCAGGGUUGAUCUCCGAACUCGUUGUAAGAUCCACAACUAUGAUACUGUGGCCGAACUGGUGAAAAAGGCCGCAGAACAGGAAGCUGGAAUCAGUGAGGAAGCCAAGGUGUUUGGCACAGUGGCGCAUGUCCAUCCUAGUAAGCAUGCGGGAAAGAAUCAAAAGCCGGUGAAGGCUGGCUCUUCCAGCAAGCCGAAUGCAACAGGUCGCAGUGCGUGUUUGACUUGCGGGAAGAUGCACUCUGGUGUCUGUCGUGCUGCUACGGGAGCUUGUCACCGUUGCGGAAGUAUGGAUCACAAGGUGCGUGAAUUCCCUGAGGAAGAUCUAAGGCCGAAGAGCCAGAACAAGGGUGCUGGGGAACGUGUGUGCUACAACUGCGGCGAAACAGGGCACUACAAGAAUCAGUGUCCGAAGGACGCACAAUCUGCUGGGAAGCGUCCGAGUGAUGGGCCUCAGCCGGUGGCAAAUAGGCAGGCCAUCAUGUCGCGGGUGUACACAAUCGGUGAUGAGUCGAUGGACCCAAGCACGUCUCGUCCGAUCACUGGUGAGUCAUCCUAUCUCUCACCUUUGCCUUAAGAAUUUUUGUGUGAAAUUGCUUGCUUGUAGAGUAGGUCCUUAGUGUUCCGGGUGAAUAUGUAGGGACCUUAGUCAUGGGUGGAGUGGCAACCCAUGUUCUGUUUGAUUCUGGUGCAUCUCACUGCUUUGUGCAACCCGAGAUGAUUGGAAUGGGAGAAUUUCAGAAAGAACCAGAAGAAGAAGUAAAAGUGGUUCGGGCAGCUGGUUGUCAGAUCAUGUACACUUCAGGGAAAAUCCGAAACGUCUCUGUGAUGAUCGGAGGAGUGAACAUGCCAGCCGACUUGGUCGUUUGCCCAGUGAAAUCAUACGAUGUGAUCCUUGGAAUGGAUUGGCUGAGCAAAUACAAGGCACAUCUUGAUUGUCAUCGUGGUCGAGUUCAGUUUGAGAUAGGCAAUGGAAAGCUUGUCUAUCAAGGGGUCAGACCGACCAAUGGGAGUCUGAUCAUUUCAGCACUUCAAGCAGAAAGAAUGCUGGAAAAAGGAUGUGAGGCUUAUCUGGCUUCAAUCACAACUGUGGAAGUCGGACCUGAUGCUGAGUUGGAAGGGAUUCCGAUUGUAAAGGAGUAUGAUGACGUGUUCGAAUCCUUGACAGGAUUACCACCGGACCGUUCUGAUCCUUUCACGAUUGAGCUUGAGCCGGGCACAAAGCCAAUCUCGAAAGCUCCUUACCGGAUGGCUCCGGCUGAAAUGGCAGAACUCAAGAAACAGUUAGAUGAACUGAUGGAGAAAGGGUUUGUGCGCCCGAGCAGUUCACCUUGGGGCGCACCGGUUCUGUUCGUGAAGAAGAAAGAUGGUAGCUUCAGGCUAUGCAUUGAUUACAGGGGGAUUAACAGAGUCACAGUGAAGAACAAGUACCCUCUUCCAAGGAUUGACGUGUUAUUGGACCAUCUCCGAGGUGCUACUUGUUUCUCCAAGAUUGAUUUAGCUUCGGGAUACCAUCAGAUUCCGAUUGCUGAAGAGGAUGUCCGUAAGACAGCCUUCAGAUCGAGAUACGGCCACUACGAGUUUGUGGUCAUGCCCUUCGGAUUGACCAACGCCCCUGCAGCCUUUAUGAAGAUGAUGAAUAACGUUUUCAGAGACUACCUGGAUGAAUUCGUUAUAGUCUUCAUAGACGACAUCUUGAUCUACUCAAAGAAUCAGGAAGAGCACAAGGACCAUCUGAGAAUGGUUUUGGAUAAGCUGCGGGAACUUAAGUUGUUUGCCAAGCUCAGCAAAUGCAGUUUUUGGCAAAGAGAAAUUGGUUUCUUGGGUCAUGUGGUCUCGGACAAGGGAGUGUCCGUGGACCAAGAGAAUAUCAAGGCCAUUGCGGACUGGCCCAGACCAAGGAACACAACAGAGAUCAGGAGUUUUCUCGGACUGGCUGGAUACUACUGACGGUUUGUUAAGGGUUUUGCCAGCAUGGCUCAAUCGUUGACAAAGUUGACCGGGAAAGAUGUUCAGUUCGUGUGGACAGAAGGCUGUGAUGUGAGUUUCAGCAAACUCAAGAUGAUGUUGACGACUACUCCAGUAUUGGCUCUUCCAAUGGACAACGAGCCAUACGUGGUGUACACAGAUGCAUCCAAAGUGGGACCUGGGUGCGUAUUGAUGCAGCAAGGCAAAGUUAUCGCGUAUGCGUCUAGACAGCUAAGGAAACAUGAAGGGAACUAUCCAACACACGACUUAGAGAUGGUUGCUGUCGUGUUUGCCCUGAAGAUAUGGCGGUCUUAUCUCUAUGGUGCCAAGUCUUCACGGACCAUAAGAGCUUGAAGUAUAUCUUUACUCAACCAGAGCUGAACCUUAGACAGAGGCGUAGGAUGGAACUGGUUGCGGAUUACGACUUGGAUAUUGCCUACCAUCCGGGAAAGGCAAAUCUGGUCGCGGAUGCCUUGAGCCGGAAGAGAGUAGCUUCGGCUUCAGAGAAACACAUGGAGGAACUAGUUCACAUGGUUGGAACCUUACGACUAGCUGCCUUGACUGACGAAGUGGAACCGUUGGGUCUUGGUGCAGCGGAUCAGGCGGACUUGUUGUCCUGAGUUCGCCUUGCACAGGAUAAAGAUGAAGAUCUGAUCAAAGCUUCCAAGAAGGAGAAAACGGAGUAUCAGACUUCAAACAAUGGGACGAUUCUGGUUAACGGCCGAGUGUGUGUUCCUAACGACAAAGGACUGCGGGAUGAGAUCCUGAAGGAGGCACACCAGUCAAAGUUUUCGAUACAUCCAGGAGCCAAUAAGAUGUACCGAGACUUGAAGAGAUACUAUCAUUGGGUUGGAAUGAAGCGUGAUGUUACAAAAUGGGUAGCUGGGUGUCCAAUCUGCCAAAUGGUUAAGGCAGAAAAUCAAGUUCCGAGUGGACUACUUCAGAGUUUACCCAUCCCAGAAUGGCCUUGGGAUAAAAUCACGAUGGAUUUCGUGACUGGCUUGCCAAUCAGGAACGACAAGGACGCUAUCUGGGUUAUAGUGGAUAGAUUGACCAAGUCCGCACACUUCUUGGCUAUCAACAAAACAGACAAUCCUGCGGUGCUAGCCAAGUUGUAUGUGGAAGAGAUCGUCAGACUUCAUGGAGUUCCGGUAAGCAUAGUGUCAGACCGAGACUCCAAGUUUUAUUCGGCCUUCUGGAGAGCUAUGCAGAAGUCGAUGGGGACCAAGGUCCAUAUGAGUACAGCAUAUCAUCCGCAAACGGAUGGAUAGUCAGAGAGGACAAUCCGAACACUUGAAGACUUACUGUGAUCUUGUGUUCUGAAUUGGGGAGACAAAUGGGAUCAAUACUUGCAUCUGGCUGAGUUUUCUUACAACAACAACUAUCAUGCAAGCAUUUGAAUGUCGCCUUACGAGGCAUUGUACGGACGUUCGUGUAGGACACCGUUAUGCUGGACCCAAGUGGGGGAGCGCAGCAUAUUUGACCGAGAUUUUGUAGAAGAGACAAAUGAAAGAAUCCGAGUCUUGAAACUAAAGAUGAAAGAGUCUCAGGACAGACAGAAGAGUUAUGCAGACAGACGCAGAAAAGACCUUGAGUUCGAAGUAGGAGACAUGGUAUAUCUCAAAACCGUCACCUACAAAGGCAAGGAUCGAUCCUCAAAGAAUGCCAAGCUGAGUCCAAGAUACAUGGGGCCGUACAAGAUCCUGGAAAGGAUUGGAAAGGUCGCCUACAAACUGGAGCUGCCCUCAUCGAUGGCUCAGUUCCAUAACGUGUUCCAUGUAUCUUUGCUACGAAAAUGCAUACGGAAUCAAGACAACGUGGUUCCUGAACCACCAUCUGACUUGAGAGAGAACCUUACUGUAGAGGGACGACCAGUCCGGAUCAUUGGAAGAAAAACCAAACCUGAAGGCAGAAAGAAUAUCAAAAUGAUCCAAGUCGUUUGGGACUGCGAUGGAGAGGAAGAAACGACUUGGGAGCCAGAGGCGAGAAUGAAAGCUGAAUUUCCAAAGUGGUUUGACAAAUUCACGGAAGAUUCAGGAAGAAAGACUCGAGGACGAGUCUGAGCCAAGUGGGGGAGAACUUGUAGCGACUGUGUUCCGAAGAUCGAUGUUAGGAUGAUAUGAGGACUGACUGGCCGAACUGUGAGAACGUACUGAAUGGAUUGGAUGAUGCUAAAAAGAACUGAUCAGAGUUCGAAGGACUUUCCGUGGGUGGAUGGGAGAACUUGGAUUGGCUCCAGAUCUGUUUUUGAGCCAACAAAGCUCCAUCAGUCGGUCUUACGCUCGGGUUAUUGGACAGGCCGUUCGGUUUGUUGAAACUCAGGAUGUUCGGGCAACUCGAUGAAAAUCCAGGCAAAGCGGAAUUUUUGGACAGCGAUGGUCGGAUCCGGACAAGUGUUGUUGGAUUCGGACAAUACGGUUGAACUGGUUGGCUAGACAGCGAUUGUCUGAAAUCAGACAAGACAGUUAAGACUGUCGGCUAAGCUGAGAUGAGCUGAUUCAGUAGUAUCAGUCUGAUUCGGACAAGGCGGGUAGAGUUGUCGACUGGAUCAGUCAGCUCUAGCUCGAGUUUCGUCUAAGUAAAACUGGCGGGAACAGUUAAAGUCCGAAAAGGGGAAAAACUCGCGCUGGAACGCUCUGGAGCGCGGGGUGGCGGUUACGGAUUAAGAGCCGCGAGUAAAAUAAGCGGGAAUGGCUAACUUGGCAGUUUUUCGGGCCUAAACCGCCCAACUGCCCAUUUUAAUCGUCUCCUUUGUUUUAUUUCGCCAUUUCUGUACGGAAAACAAAAAGAAAGAAUCAGAGAGAAACUCAGAAGGAGAAAAGUCCGAUUAAGAGAGAGUUUUCGAUAUUUGGCUGGAUUGAUCAAGUCCGAGUCAAGAACGAUCGUCUGUGGGGUGAAUCCGACUGUCUGAGCGUUCGAAGAUCCGAUGGAAACCGCUCAAGAGGUGUCAGAAGAAACCGAAUCAAACAGAACAAACCGACUUUAAAAAAAAGGUGAGUGCGUGACCGUAGCCUAUCGUACUGAAUCGUAGUCUGAUUGAUAGGAAUGUUCUAUGUACUGAUUGCUUGUCUAAUUCGAAUUAUCUGCUAAGUUCUGGCUUGGUCCGAACAGUCGGUUCCUUCCAUCGACGCAUCUGGCUCAGAUCAUGCGCCUAGAGCCGUAUUGGCCUGCUAGGGCUUGACUGAAUCUGAUGGCGCUUUGGCUUGGAAUGAUUGGGUCGGCUAAGUAACUGACUGAUGAUAAGCAUGUCCGUUUAUUGACUGAUUGACUCGAUUGCUUUACUUGGCUGAGUGGGACGGAAUGACCGCUCUCACUAAGCAUACUGUUUGCUUAUGCCUCCUUGUUUGUAUGCAGAUCGGGACCAGACCCGAAAGGGUAAAGACAUAGCUUGAUCGCGGGACAAGGGCAGGAAGGAAGGAUGGUGGGUUUGGGUAGAUAUAGGACGAGAUUAACAUGUAAUAGCCUAUAGCGAACUGACUUGUUAACUCGAACCUCAGAUUAUCUAUUCAAAUCGUAUUAUGUUUUACUUAACUGUCUGAAAAAGAACGAACACUCUGAAAUAAUUCUAAGUAAGGAAAAAUUUGAAAAUGGCCCAAGUCUGAUCGAGGAAGUCGAGCCAGACUCGUACUGAUGUUACGAAAAAAUGGGUCGGGUCAUUUCAAGUGGUAUCAGUGCGGAGUCGAGUUCUAGGACAAUCUAAGUAUAGUGGGUUAUUGGGGCAAACCAUCCUUCCAAGCUUGCCGUCUCGCGGUAAAUUUUGUGUUCCGUGUCCUGAUCCCAAGUUAGUUUUGACUAACUUACCUGUGAUCUUGUUGCAGAUGGCAAAAAGUAACCGUAACACAAGAAGGACUGUGAAUGAGACCGCUGAGGGGUCUGCGAGCAAUGUGGCCAGGAAUGAUUUGAAAAUGGUCCAAGUCUAAUCGAGGAAGUUGUGCCAGACUCGUACUGAUGUUACGAAAAAAUGGGUCUGGUCCUUUCACUACGCCCGGGAUUUUUUAUUUAAAUUUAAAUGUUGAUUGUAUAUUAUUAUGUUUAUUUUAUUUAUAAAUAUUAUAAUCUAUUAUAAAAAAUAUAAGUAGCCAAACAAUUAUAAAAUCAAUUUAAAUUAUUCAUUGUUCAAUUACGCAUUUUAAUAUUUUUAAUAUCCAUUUUUUUGUUAUUAGAAAUUAUAUAUAAGGUGAUGAGUAGAAUAAACAAAAAUUAUUAUUAUUUAGUUAUGGUGUUUAAUUAAUUAUGUCGAAUAAGGUGAUACUGUGUCGUUUAGGAGUGAUAGAGAUGUUAAGCGUGUGCUGAUUUGGUGUUAUACCUAUUAGAGUGUGUGUUGUUUAUGUGUUGACUCUUGAGAAUGUGUGUUGUUUUAAUGACUUUAAUUAAACGUGUUUGUCAUCUUACAUAGGAUCCACAUAAAACCUAAAUUUCUUUACACAAACAUUUCUUUUCACGCCGCAAACUAAUUUUCUCAACUAAACUCAUCACUUUCAAACGUCAAAGCAACCCUUUGACUCUCUGCAAAUCAGAAACCGUAAACUCAUCCCUAUCAAAUCUUGACUCUGCGUAAAUCAAAAGCAAGCAUUCUUUUUUUUUCUUUUGGCUUUUUGUACUUUUUUGCGGAUAACCCGCUAAACCCGCUUGAUUGAUGCGGGGUGGGUGCGGUAAUCGAAAUCCGGUCAUGCGGGUCUUGCGGGUAAAAUUUUCAAGUGAAAAAAUGAGUUUAACCCGCGGCGGGGCGGGUUGAGCGGGGCGGGUUGAGCGGGGCGGAUCCGACCUGCUUCCCAGGCCUAAUCAUGGGUCUAGAGGAAGCAGCAGGAUUGAAACAGUUACCAACGGCGUUAGGAUGCGUCUCCGUUCUUCACUGCUGUCGUAUUAGGGUUAGCAAAACUCAGACUUAUCCGGCCAGUUACGCUUUCUUUAUCACAGCCCAAUAACAUGUAAAAUAACGAAGCCCAAUAAGAUGAUGUUAAUGAGACGCUGCGUUUCUUCUCCCUGGACACGUGGCAGCACUACAAACCUCGACUUUCUGACCUGGCGCUGACGUGGAUGCACAGGAGUGAAGCAAACAUAUUUUUAUAUAUAUAGAUUCUUUCUCCGCGCAUAUAUUUAAAUUUGUUACAUUUAUCAUGUGAAUUUUUGUAUAUUAAAUUAUAUAUAACUAAUUUUUAAAUUUGAUUUUUUUUUUAUAUUUUUAGUUUGAAGUAAGUAUUUCUGUUAUAUGCAACACAAUUAACUAAUAAAAUAUGAAGAAUCAAGUCCGAGAUUUAGAGUUAUGUAAAAAAUAUAUAAUUAUGUAUAGAAUUUAAAUUAUCUUAGUUUAAAAGAUCGGAAUCUCAUCUCGAAUAAAUUCACGAAAAGAAUCUAUAUAGAGUUAGUUUAUAGAUUACUCUAUUUGUUUCAAAAUGUAAUCAGUUUUAAUUAAAAUCUGUAAUAUUUAAGUUAUUACUUUAGAAAACUGUCAUUUAAUAUAUAAAUUUAAUCAAUUACACAGUAAUUUACAUAAUUUAAUUAGCCACACAAUAUCCAAUAAAUAUAAAGUUACAUUGAAAUAUAAAAACAAUUUAUAUAGUGAAACAAAAAAUACUUUUAAACCAUUAUAUUAUAAAACAUUGAAAUAUAUAUAUAUAUAUAUAUAUAUAUUUUCUUUUUUUGUAAAAACAAUUUAUAUAGUGAACCAAAAAAAUACUUUUAAACCAUUAUAUUAUAAAACAAAGAGAAUAUUCAAAAUAUAUUGAAACAAUAGAAUAGUAAGAAUCAGAAAAGCUGAAAUCUCAACGUCGAUCAUUUACGUUGGUCAUGCCUUAGACCAUCUCCAAUGUAUUCCUCUAUUCCUUUUUUCUUUUUUUUUUUUUUUUUUUGACAGCAAACAUUUACAGACUCAUGUAAACUCUGUAAACCAAGGUGGUAAAACUACAUCCAUGUGCACGACGAAAGACAGUUGUUGCCGAGCACUCUGUGCCAAGCUAUCCGCCCUUUUGUUCUCCAUCCUAGGAACAUGAACAAUUUCUGAGUUGACAAAACUUUGUCGCAAAGUCUUGAUAUCUUCCAGGUAGCUUUCAAAUGCUGGUCAUUCCUCUGAUUCCGAAACCAUCUUCACCAGUUGAGAACAAUCCAUUGCAAACGUAACCUGAAACUGCCUUAAAUUUCGCAUACAUUCCAUCGCCCAAAUCAAUGCCUCCAUCUCCGAAUGAAGAGGUGAGAGGGAUGCCCUUACAUUUCGUGCUCCCAAUAAGCCAUCAAACCCUGGCAGCGUGCUAUGCCAUCCUUGUCCUGAAAAAAAAUCCUUAUCUUUCCUAGAACUAUCCGUGAAACACCAUCGUCCUAUGGUCCCUAUAUCAGGCCGUACUUGUACUUCCUGUACCAAUCUACGAUCUUUAAUAACUUGUGCCUCAGCCCACAAUGUUGAUUCCACUUCUGCCAAUCUCAGCAUGUCUCUUGGGUCCAUAUCUAAGUUACUGAACACUUUGUUGUUCCGACCCUUCCAAAUAUACCAUAAUAUCCAUGCAAACUGGUGAUCCACCAAUUUUGGAUUAAGUCUCCAGAAUAGAUGAUCCAUAUUAGCAAAAAGAGAGCCAAUUGGGAAAAUGUUUGGAUUUGAUGGGAUCUUGGAUAAUGCCCACACUUGACGUGCUGGAGGACAUUCAAAAAACACAUGGUUUAUUGAUUCCUCCGGAGCUCCGCACCUGGCACAGCAGGUGUCUCCUUGCAUCCCUCGUGCUUUUAAUGUUUUCGUCACCGCUAUACAACCAGAUACCAGCUGCCAAAGAAAGUGUUUUAGCUUCGGAGGACACCUCACCUUCCAACAGUAUGCCUUAAGGAUAUCCACAUUAGGGCCAUAAAAAUCAGGUGGUUUCUCCUUGUCAGGAUAAAUCCUUUCUACCUGAUAUCCUGAUUGUACCGUAUAUUUUCUAUUUUUUGUGAAAUGCCAUCCAUUCCUAUCUGCCAACUGAUUUCUGCCCAAUGGUAUACUCUCAAUUAUUUUUGCAUCUUGUGGAUCCACCAAGUCCCUAAUUGCCUGUACAUUCCAUGUGCGUGAUUCUUGAUUAAUGAAAUAAUCUACAGUGAGGUCCGGGUAACUAUUAUGUAGGUUUUUGUUGGCUGGUCUCGGGCGAGUGGAUGGGAGCCAAGGGUCAUUCCAUACUGAAAUAGAUGAUCCUGUUCCUACCCUUUUAAUUAGUCCUUUAUAAACCAGAGAUCUAGCAGAAGUAAUACUCCUCCAGCCAUAUGACGGGGAGUAUGAGCGAAUCGGUUCCAGGGGUGAAGAAUUCCUGUAAUACCGUCCUUUGAAGACUCGAGCAAAGAGGGAAUUUGGCUUCCUGAUCAGCCGCCACAACUGUUUCCCAAGCAUUGCCGUAUUAAAAUCAGUCAAAUCCUUAAAACCCAACCCACCAUUGUCUUUAUGGGCACAUACUUUAUCCCAUGAUUUCCAAUGCAUACCUCUUGUGCUACCUCCUGGGCUCCACCAAAAUUGGGCGACUGCACCUGUGAGCUUCUUCACUGUAGUUUUCGGCAACCGGUACACAGACAUCACAUGGUUUGGCAAAGCCGUAAUCACUGAUUUAAUGAUCACCUCUUUUCCACCCUUGGUAAAAAAAUGAAAGGUCCAUCCAUUAACCCUACUAUUCAGCCGUUCUUGUACAAAGCCAAACACUUGUACUUUAGAGCCACCUAGACUUUCCGGUAGUCCUAAAUAAGAUCUCAUUCCACCUAAAUUCUGGAUUCCCAAAAUAUCCCUCAAUUCUUGACGGCUAGCCUCUUCAAUCUUAUGUCCAAAUUGAAUGGAAGAUUUCUGAAAAUUAAUUUGUUGCCCUGAGACAGUUUCGUAUUCCUUUAGAAUCCUGAGAAUAGUCUGACACUCCUCCUUUUUUGCCUUGCAGAAAAACAAACUAUCAUCUGCAAAUAACAAAUGAGAGAUUGCAGGGCAAGCUCUUGCCACUUUCAUACCAGUUAAAUGUUUCAUCCGCUCUGCCUUUUUAAUAUUUGAAAUUAAUGCCUCCGUACACAUAAUAAAUAAAUAAGGGGAUAAGGGAUCCCCUUGCCGUAAACCUCGCUGGGGGGUUAUAAGACCCCGAGGUUGCCCAUUUAUAAGAACCCUGUAUUGGACUGAAGAAAUACAUUCGCGCAUUAAUUUGAUCCAGUGAGAAUCAAAACCCAUUUUGUAAAGGAGAGCCUCAAUGAAGUUCCACUCUAUCCGAUCAUAAGCCUUGCUCAUAUCUGUUUUAAUUGCCAUAAAAUUAUUCUGACAAGACUUAUUGGCUCUCAAACCAUGAAACAUUUCCUGUGCAAUAAGAAUAUUAUCCGAAAUUAGCCUUCCUGCCACAAAAGCCGAUUGUGUUUCCGAAAUUAGCCUGGGAAGACAACUUUUCAAUCUUUGACACAAAACUUUCGAUAUAAUCUUGUAGCCAACAUUACAAAGACUUAUCGGCCUUAGUUCCGUCAUCCUUGUCGGCCUCUCCACUUUUGGUAUCAUACAAAUAUUAGUUAAAUUCAUCCUUGGAUCCAGAUCGCCUGUAAUCAAAAAAUUAUUCACCAGCUCCACCACAUCUGUUUUAAUAACAUGCCAAGAAUGUUGAAAAAAGAGAGCCGUCAUCCCAUCCGGCCCUGGCGCUUUUUCUGGAUGCAUCAUAAAUAGUGCUUGUCUGACUUCUUCCUCUGUUGCUAACCGUAGUAGCAUUUGAUUCAUCUGUGGAGAAAUUGUUGGUCCUAUCUCUUCCAGAAAACUAUCAAACUCAGUAGGAUUAGAAGAAUGAAACAAACCCUCAAAGUAAUUUACCGCCACAUUUUCAACACCAUUCUCAUCUGUAAUCCAUUUACCCGUAUCAUCAUGAAGGCCGACUAUUUUAUUUCGAAUGCGUCGUUGCUUUGUCAAAGCAUGAUAAAAUUUUGUGUUAAGAUCCCCGGAUGAAUGCCACAUAUUCCGACUCUUCUGAUGCCAAUACUCUUCCUCAUCCUUAUACGCCUCUUGUAAUUUCCUGGAAAUCUCAAUAAUCUCCUCUUGUGAUCUGUUGUUAUCUGUUUGUACCUCCUCCAGAGCUUGUUGAAGAUUAUGAAUUUUUUCCUUUCCAUAUGGUUGAUUUUCCUUCCGCCAAGAUGAUAUCUCAUGUCGGCAGUUACUAAUUUUAGUAAUAAAAUCCUCUGAUUGACCUGUUCUGGAUUCUGUCCAGCCCGAUACAAUUGACUCCAUUAGUCCCUCUUGGCCUAACCACCUUUUAUCAAACCUAAAUUGUCCCCUUCUUCUCUUUGAUGAUCUGUCUUCCAAAAAAGCAAUCACAGGGCGAUGAUCCGAUCCCACCAUCCUCAAGUAUUCUGUAUAAGAAACUGGAAACAGUGUGUGCCAUUCUUCAUUAGCUAAGGCUCGAUCCAAUCUGCAUCUGACCAUCACCGUUCCUUUCCCUUUGCCUCUCCGGCCUUGCCAUGACAAUUUAUUACCUCGAGCUGGGAAUUCCAAUAACCCACUAUUUCGUAUCAUAUUAUUAAAAGGAAUAAAAGAUGUUGCACAUCGUAAAGAACCCCCAUCAUUUUCAUGAUUCCCAGUAAUCUCAUUUAGAUCUCCUAUAAUAAACCAAGGAUCCGACCUGGAUAACCCAUACCGGGUUAAUCGCUCCCAAACUUGUUCCCUUAGUUUCUGAUCCGGUUCACCAUAUACAAAUGUAAGGAAAACUUGUUUCCCUUUGACCACAGCCUCAACAUCAAUCAUUCUAUUACUUGAAUAUAAAAUUUUAACUUGGAACUCAUUGUUAUAAUAGAGAGCUAAACCACCACUUCUCCCAAUUGGAUCCACCGAAGCCAGAUUGUCAUAACCAAAGUGAAAUUGAAAUCCUUGUACUAAACCAAAAUCCUGUUUCGUUUCUGAUAAAAAUAAAAAAUCUGGUUUGUUUUUAUGCCAUAUUUCCCGGAGAUAACUCUUUGUCCAGUGACUUCCAAGACCUCUGCAAUUCCAACUUAAUAUUUUCAUAUAUAAAGAGACUGAUUUUGCCCUUUCGAGCGAGAGGACUGGAGUUUAAUGAUACUCAACAGUCUUAUAAUACCAGGUACCUGGAAACCAUAAAUCCCGUACUCAAACCCAUUAAGUGUAUCACUAGACCCAUCAGGAUCAUGAUCACACCACCGAAACCCAUCUUUCCAAAUUGCCGAUGACUCCUUGCCGUCAUUCCAUAAACCCAUCAAAACAAGAUACAUAUUAUAUAUAUUUAAACCAUUACAGUUCUCUCUUAAAAAUACCAAUAGUUCAUAUAAAUGUGCAAGAUUUAUCAAUCGCUUAGCGAACCAGCUAUUUUGAUAAAACAUACCAUUAGACCCGUAAGACCAUUUCAGUGCAUUUAAACUAGCAACUAAGCCUACCAUAAACAUCCCAUUAGUUAAUUCAAAUAAAACACAAAGGGUACACAAUACUAUAUAUAACCCUCUAACUUGACUUAAGGAUGAACCCCAUCUCCUCGAUCUCAAACAAAUUUGCACCAUGAUACCUAAAAUCAUAGUCGCCAAUGAUCCCAAAGCCUCCAUAGUUCCGUACCAAACCAAGGCCAAUACCAUAUAUAAGAGACUCGUUAUAAGCCGACUCCCACAACCAUAUCUCCAAUCCAAAGAGUCCACACUCACACCACAUAACAUACGUAACAAUACACAUACGCAUACAGCAAGAAAACACCACCACAAACUUAAAAUUCCAAUUUUAUUCCAUAUCUUAAUAAAAGCCACAAUAAUCAUCACAAUUUCCUCUUUCCCCACCGUCAUUAUCGAAACUAAUAUAAAUAGGUCUUGAUCCAUAAUCUUAAAACUUGAGGUUCGUUGACUUUGGGUUUGAAGGCCCCUUUCUUUCUAACGGUUUACCACCAUCACCCUGACGAAUUCCCACCUUAGCUACAGCACGUUUGCGUGGAGAGAGAAGCGAGCUUGCCAUCCUCAUCUUGUUGCUACCCGCUGUGCUGGGUUUGAGCAGCCUCCUGCGAUUACUCUGUCUCGUCGCCAUGUCAUCUGCUACCGUUGCGUUGUUGCCAUCACCACUCACCAGUUCCUCUUGCCCAUCAACCUCAGCCAGUUGCUCAGCUUCCUCCUCCGAGAGAGUCUGAAACUCAUCCUCUACCUCCACAUCCUCACCAUUCUCCAAUAUGGAAGCAUGAAUAGCCUCUAUUUCCAUAUCAAUGUCAGCUGCUAUGUCCUCCUGUUGCCCCAUCACUCCCUUGAGCUUGAUUAAACCCAUCUCCUUCUCAGUAGUGUCAAUUAUCGCCUCUGAUCCUUCCGCCUGCGUCUUAGCUAGUUCAAGUUGAAACUCGUCAGUCGCUGCAUCAUCACCAGUACCCUUGAUCUCCCCUUCUUCCCUAACUGCGGAAACUGGAGUCCUCUGACCAUGAGAAUCUCUUGGUUGAUGCGAAGAAGGUCUAGCACGUAUCUCUUAAUCACCAACUCCCCCACGUGUGCCUCCACUUCUCCCCUCAUCCCUCCGCGUGUUUCUGUAUCGAGAGCUCUCACCAUCUCCUCUAUAACUUCCAUAGUAGGUAGAAGGCUUCCUAGAUCCCUUCUCAGCUACCUUGACCCACUUAGAGUCCACCACAUCAACCGCCUUUCCCUUUCCUUUCCCAUAGUUUUCCCGGUUGUCUCUUUCUUUGUUCUGUUGACCCGGUUGCCCGUUGAUGACCACACCCUUAUAACUACGAGCUCGAUCCUCAUGUUUCGUACCAUCUGUCCACGCUCCAUUGCCUUCUCUAAGCUCCCUUCUUCUCUCUGGGCUCGACUUUAAAUUAUUGUCGUCUAAAGGACAUAGCUCCUCCUUGUGACAAAGACUAGCACAUAGCUUGCAGUGCCCGAAUAACUUUUCAUAGCGCAGAAAGACUGCCGCUUCCUCAUUAUCAUAGUACUCUCCUCCUUUGAAAUCCACCAUCGUCUCCAGACACAGCUCCUCUACUUGAACUCUGUUAUACUUCACAUCAACUGCAACUACUCUCAAUCCCCGCAGAUACCAAAACACCCAAACCUCGGUAAGGUAAAACAGCCCCAUCUCCAGAAGGUAUGAAGAGGAAAGAAAAGAAUCACGAUCUAAAUUACAACCUGUAAAGAUCCUGAGAUCAAUCUCUAUUGCGUCCAGACUCCACCGCCCUUGGACCCAGCCCAAUAAUAUUUUUCUAUUUUCUCUCCUAAAAAAGAAUAUUCUUGAUAUUUUCUUUUCUAAUUUCACAAAUAAUAUUUUUUAUUUGUGAAAGUUGAAAACCAGCCCAAUUUAUUUUAGUAUUUUAUAAAAUUAUGAUAUUAUUUACACUAAAUAUUUCUUUACAAACUAUUAUGUAAAUAAAAAAAUAUAAUUAUAUUUAUAUAUAUAAUAUAUUUCACCAAAAAAAUAUUUUAGGUUAUAAUUGUUUAAGCAAAAAGUUAAAGGAUCAUUUUGUAAAAACAAAUUGAGGAGGUGACAUGGUAAAAAUAUAGUUUCUCAUUGGCCGAUUAUUUUCGCCUACGUGGACACUCUAUCUGAGGCUUAUAUCCUCUUGUUUUAAUUAAAAUAUGUAAUAUUUAAAAGUUAUUACUUUAGAAAACUAUCAUUUAAUAUAUAAAUUUAAUCAAUUACGCAAUAAUUUACAUAAUUUAAUUGGCUACACAAUAUCCAAUAAGUAUAUAGUUACAUUGAAAUAUAAAAACAAUUUAUAUAGUGAAACAAAAAAUAUUUUUAAACCAUUAUAUUAUAAAGCAAAAGAAAUAUUCAAAUUAAUUAUAUUGAAACAUUAGAAUAGUAAGAAUCAGAAAAGCUGAAAUCUCAACGUCGAUCGUUCACGUCGGUCAUGCCUUAGACCAUCUCCAAUGUAUUCCUCUCUUUUUUCUAAAAUAGAAGAAUUUCAUAAUAGAGAUGGAUUUGUCUCCGAUGUAUUUUGCUAUUUUCUCACCUGAAAAAGAAUAUUCUUGAUAUAUUCUUUUCUAAGUUUACAAAUAAUACUUUUAUUUGUGAAAGUUGAAAACCAACCCAAUUUAUUUUAGUAUUUUAUAAAAUUAUGAUAUUAUUUACACUAAAUAUUUCUUUAGAAACUAUUAUGUAAAUAAAAAAUAUAAUUAUAUUUAUAUAAAUAAUAUAUUUCACUAAAAAAAUAUUUUUGGUUAUAAUUGUUUAAGUAAAAAGUUAAAAGAUCAUUUUGUAAAAACAAAUAGAUGAGGUGACAUGGCAAAAAUAUAGUUUCUCAUUGGCCGAUUAUUUUCGCCUACGUGGACACUUUAUCUAAGGCUUAUAUCCUCCUUUUAUUACUUGUUUGAUUUGUAUAUAAUUUAGUGUAUAGGUCCGGACCAAAUUUUUACGGAACCGAGAAACCAAACAACAAGACCAAAAUUGAAAAAAUUAUGUAAGUAAUCAAACGGAUCAUAUAUUUUAGAAAUAAAAAACUGGAAUCAAAGCAAAAACCGAAUGGUGGUGCAAAAGAAAGAAGCAAAAACCGAAUGGGUAUUAAGUUUUUAAAAUACAAAUUAUAUACCUACAAAUAUUAAUUAUAUUUUAAUUACUAAAUAACCAAAUAUCCUAAAAUAUAAUUUAUAAAUUGAACUACCCAAAAAUGAAUCACGAAAAUAUGUUUUUUUUUGUCAUCAUAAACAGACUCAUACUGACUCUGUGAACCACACCGGGAGAUUCUGAUCCUUGUGAACGACGAAAGACGAUUGUUUUCUGACACUGCGUGCUAGACUAUCCGCCUUUGAAUUUUGCGUCAUUGGUACAUAGAUGAUCUAUGAUCUAAUAAAACUUUCUCUCAGGGUCUUGAUAUCUUCCAAAUAAUUUGCAAAUGCUGGCCAUUCUUCUGGUUCCGAAACCAUCUUCACCAAUUGAGAACAAUCCGUUGCAAAUGUAACAUGAAAUUGACGUAAAUUUUUCAUACAUUCCAUUGCCCAUAAUAGAGCUUCCAUCUCCGCAUGCAGAGGAGUUAGACAAGCCCGUACAUUCUUCGCCCCCAACAAACCAGCAAAACCUUCUAAAGUACUAAGCCAACCUUGUCAUGAGAAAACAUCAUUCUCCUUCCAAGAGCCAUCUGUGAAGCACCAUCUUCCUAGAAUCAAAGGAAGGGUUGUAGGCUCGACCGGUAAGACUCUCCUGUUUUCCUUGGAUACAUGUGCCUUAGCCCAGAGUGUUGAUUCUGUUUCUGCCAAUUUGAGCGUAUCUUGAGGAUCCAUAUCCAAAUUACUAAAAACUUUACUAUUCCUUCCUUUCCAAAUAUACCAUAGUAUCCACGCGAAUUGAUCAUCCUCCAUCUACGGGAUGACUCGCCAAAAGAGAUGAUCCACAUUUGUGAAGAAGGAGCUUGUGGGGAAAAUGGUUGGGUUUGAAGGUACCUUGAAAAGAUCACAUACCUGAAUUGCUGGAGGACAUUCAAAAAACACAUGGUUGAUCGAUUCCUCUUCCGCUCCACAUCGUGCACAACAUAUAUCCUCUUGUAUUCCUCGCGCUUUCAGAUUCUUCUUUACUGCUAUACACCCUGUCACUAAUUGCCAUAGAAAAUGUUUCAUCUUUGGGGGACACCGUAUUUUCCAGCAGAACGCCUUCAAUGCAUCAACUGUAGGUCCAAACACUAAAGGUGGUCUUUCCCUGUCUGGGUANNNNNNNNNNNNNNNNNNUAAAGGUGGUCUUUCCCUAUCUGGGUAGACCCGUUCUAUCUGAUAUCCUGAUUUAACCGUAUACUUCCCAUUAUUUGUGAAAUGCCAGUCAUCCCUGUCUACCAUCUGGGUUCUACUCAAUGGUAUGCUUUCUAUGAUUUCAAAUCCUGAGGAUCCAUCAAAGUACGGAGUGCCUGGGAGUUCCAGGUUCGCGAAGUAGAAUCAAUAAAAGAAUCCACUGCAAGGUCUGGGUAUAAAUUGUGUUGAUUUUUAUUUGCUGGUCUCGGGCGAGUGGUUGGGAGCCAUGGGUCAUUCCAUACAGAUAUAGAUGAUCCUCAUCCCACCCGCUUAAUUAGUCAUUUGCUAACCAGAGAUCUAGCAGAAACAAUACUCCGUCAGCCAUAUGACGGAGAAUAUGACCGAAUCGGUUCCAGAGGUGAGGCAUUCNNNNNNNNNNNNNNNNNNNNNNNNNACCGAAUCGGUUCCAGAGGUGAGUCAUUCCUGUAAUACCGAAUCACGCAAAUAUGUUUUAUUUUGAAAGAUUUGAAAUUAUCCGAAUUAUCUGAUAUUUUUCUCGAACAACCUUAAUUAUCCGAUAUUUAAAUUGAAAAACCUGAAUUAUCCAAAAAAAAAUUCUUCUAUAAAUUUAAAAUUACCCCAAAAACAUAAUCGAAAACCAAAUUGGACCCUGCUUUUUGGAUAUUAGUCGGUUUCCAACUUUUUUCCCGAACCGUUCCAAAAUGUGAUAUAACUAAACUGAAACAUAACAAAAUUUUGUAAAUACCUGAACAAUUUCAAUAUUUCUAAAACCAAAACACCAAAAAUUGAAAUGCCCGAACCAAAACCGAAUGAUGAGGACUAAAAGUGCAUCUAAAUUUAAAUAGUGCGAAUCAAAAAUUCUACUUUUACAAAUUAUUUAACUCAUUUUAGUAGGGUAACAUAUGUGAUUUAUAUCUGGAUUAAGAUAUAAGCAGUGUUCUUAUAUCCGAUUUGGACCCGUGGUCGAACAGAUAACUCAGUGACCGUAUAUAAUUCAGUAUUCAUUUAAUAAAAAAUUCAUUAAUUAAAAGUACGAUAAAACCUAAAACCCUGUCAUUAACUUGUGAACCAACACUGAUUGAUCCUGUGAAAACCUAGAAAAUAUGAUAAUUAAAAAAAAAACCUUUUCAUACAUUUUUUAAUAGUUCAUAAAAUUGAAUAAACUAUUUGAUUUUUCUUAUAUGGUAAAUGCAUUGUAUUUAUGUUAUGCAUUUUAAUUAUAGAUUUUGUAAUGAUUUUUUAAGGUUACAUUUGUAAGUUUUGGAACAAAAGUUAUUAGUAAAUAGAAUAUAAUUUAGUUCACUAUAAAUAUUAAACAUAUUUCUACAUAAAUUAAUAAUUUGUUAUAUAUAUAUAUAUAUAUAUAUAUAAUAUUAUGAUUUUUUAUUAAUAUUUUUAUAUAUUUAAAUACAAGUACAAUUACAAUUUUAAAGUUGAUAAUUUAUUUUUAUUCGAAAGCGUACAAUGGGUUUAGGCCUAUUAAAAAUACUAGGUAAACACAUUCGCUACGCUGCGGGAAUUGUUUCCGUAUUUUUUAUUAAAAUAUUUUCAAUUUGAUAAUUGUUAUUUGUUUAAAUAUUAACAUUUGAAGAUUUAUUAUUUUGUACGUGUCCAAGAUCCAAUGAAAAAAUAUAAAUAAAGCAAAAAAUUCAUAGCUAUGUAUCGUGUCUCUUUGAAAAUCAACAACCUUUUUAAAAAAUGACAUGGAUGUGGGUUUUAAUCUUAAAGAGAUCACUGAGAUUAGAGCACUGAUUGUCGAGUUGCUCUUCCUACAGACAGUCUUUUCCAUCAAAGUUUUCCUUGCAUCUUUGUUGUGGAUUUUUUUAACAAUUAGAAAUUUCUAUAACUAAAAGCUUAUGAUACACUUGAGUCACUUAGCUUUAGGUUCAUACCUGAAAAAAAAAAAUUAUGAAGUAGGCUUCUUGGGUUUGUUAGGGUUUUUGUUCCUCUUAUUCUUAGUCUCUUCUUCUUCUGCAAGAGACAUAAUUAUGAUCUUGUUAUGUAAUGCAUUUUUGUGAUCAGUUAAAAGGGGAAAGUGUGAGUCAAUGAGUGACCUUGGUCAGAGCAUCUGCAUCAGUGAACUCCAUGGGGAGUUCACACAGUUUUCGAAAAAAAAAAUAUUAAAAUAAACAAAAGCAAUGAACCUGUCUCUUGGGAGUUCACUGCACUGAACCCGGAUCAUCACUGUAGCGCGGGCCCCACGACACGUGGCGGNNNNNNNNNNNNNNNNNNNNNNNNNNNNNNNNNNNNNNNNNNNNNNNNNNNNNNNNNNNNNNNNNNNNNNNNNNNNNNNNNNNNNNNNNNNNNNNNNNNNNNNNNNNNNNNNNNNNNNNNNNNNNNNNNNNNNNNNNNNNNNNNNNNNNNNNNNNNNNNNNNNNNNNNNNNNNNNNNNNNNNNNNNNNNNNNNNNNNNNNNNNNNNNNNNNNNNNNNNNNNNNNNNNNNNNNNNNNNNNNNNNNNNNNNNNNNNNNNNNNNNNNNNNNNNNNNNNNNNNNNNNNNNNNNNNNNNNNNNNNNNNNNNNNNNNNNNNNNNNNNNNNNNNNNNNNNNNNNNNNNNNNNNNNNNNNNNNNNNNNNNNNNNNNNNNNNNNNNNNNNNNNNNNNNNNNNNNNNNNNNNNNNNNNNNNNNNNNNNNNNNNNNNNNNNNNNNNNNNNNNNNNNNNNNNNNNNNNNNNNNNNNNNNNNNNNNNNNNNNNNNNNNNNNNNNNNNNNNNNCGGGAGCGACACAGCCAGGUCGCUCGCGAAGAAACGACCCGGGAGCGACCUCUCGCAGCGACGUGCCGAGGUCGCUCCGCGUCUAUUUGUUUGGCCAAAUUCAUUUUUUCUCAAGGGCCUUUUGGUCAUUUCAUUAUGCACGUUUUUACUUUUCAAAACGUAUGUUUUAAGCACCUUUGGUAGCCACCAGGCAAAGGGAGCUCUUUUCUGAAGAACAACUAGUAAAACUUCUUUUGAUUCAGAUUUCAUUGCUUUCAUCUUGUGUUCUUGUUGAUUUCUUAUCUAUUUCUCUACAUGAUUAAUCUGAAAUCCAAUAUGGGUUUAAGAGGAAUCAUGGAGAUUAGUGAGUAAUCACAUUUUGAAUUCAUGGGUUAGGGAGAUUAAAGGUGAUUAGGUUAGUUCUAGGAUGUUUUAGUGUAGAUCAUUCUUGUUCCUUACUAGUAGAGUAUUCAUAAUGCAUCUUCUGAGUUGGCCACUCAAAAGUUGAUCAAUAAGCAUUUUCCACCCAAAAGGUGUUUGAUGAAAUGCUUGAGACAAUUCUCCUAGGCUUUUAGUAUACUUUGCCAAUGACAUUUGUUGUUAAAGGUGCUAAGAUAGCUUAUAGACUUGUUAGUAAUGAUUGCUUUCACAUUAUUCAACCAAAGACAUUUGAUGUUUGAGAUAUGUUAGCAAAUGAGCAUUCAUCUAGACAUAGAGCUUGCUUAGAAUUGUGUCUAGUCUUAAGGUCGAUAGUUUGAUUGAUCAUUUGCCAUCCUUAGUUCGAUACUUGAUCACCCAAGGUCUAAUCUCUAUGCCUAUGAGUUCUCUUUUCCCUUAGUCAAGAAAGUAUCAUUCUGUAAUUACUUUCUAGUAUUCGUAGUAGUAGUAGUUUAAAACUCAUCUAAAUCAUUGGUUGCACUUAGAUUAAGUGAGUACUUGCAUUCUCGGUGCUUUGAUAUCCCUCAGAACUGGUUCGACAUUCACUCAUACUACAACAUUUGUCUUAGGAGCCUGAAAACUCCUAACAUCAAAUUGGCGCCGUUGCCAAAUUCUGAGUAGAUUUCAACAUUGAGAUUUAGUCACUUGCUUGAGACUAAGUCAUUUUUAAUUUCUUUUGUGACUGAUUCUCCUUCUUCACCUCCCUUUAACUUUCAGGUGUAUGAACUUGAGGAGCAGGGGUCCAUCAAACCUAGUUCCAAGAGUUGCAGAUAUCAGAGGUUUAGAGAGAGAGUGUGCUAGAGCGAGAAGAGAAGAAGAGCAACAGGCUCACUUGCAGAGAUUGGAUAUUGAUAUGGCAGAUCAACCGCAAGGGCCAGAACACCCACAGCGAGCAGGUCGAUCCAUUGGUACCUAUGAUCGUCCAAACAUCAAUGGUCAGAGGUUGGGUAUCCGCGCUCCACCAGUGGAAGCCAACAACUUUGAGGUCAAUCCAGGACUCCUCAACGUGAUCGAGAACAACAAGUAUCAUGGUUUGCCUGUAGAGGACCCUUUUGAUCACUUGGACAAGUUUGACAGCUACUGCGGAUUGUCAAAAACCAAUGGAGUGUCCGAAGACGCCUUCAAGCUCAAGCUAUUCCCUUUCUCUUUGGGGGAUAAGGCACGCUAGUGGGAGAAGACUGUACCCAGUGAAUCCAUCACUACUUGGGAUGAGUGUAAGAGAGCAUUCUUGGAGAAAUUCUUCUCAUCCUCAAGACCUGCUAAGCUGAGAAAUGAGAUCUCCAGUUUCCAACAGAAGAACUUGGAAGGAUUCAGUGAAGCCUGGGAGAGAUUCAAAGGCUAUCAAACCAAAUGCCCACAUCAUGGUUUCUCUAAGGAGAGCUUGCUCAGUACCUUCUACAGAGGUUCCCUUCCUAAGUACAGAGCCAGAUUGGAUACAACUAGCAAUGGGUUCUUCUUUGGAAUAAUUGAAGAUGAUGUAGAAGAGCUGGUUGACAACAUGGUGAAGAGUGAUGCAGUCUACAGUGCAGACCACGACAUAGGCAGUAGGGGUGAUGAUAAGCAGACGAGGAAAGAGAUCAAAGCUUUGGAAGACAAGGUCGACCUACUCAUUGCUGAAAAAGCCACCCAAGAGCAGCUGAAGUUUGUUGGUAACUCCAAGCAGGAAGAUCCACCUGUUGUCCAUGAGGUUGAGGGUUUGGAAGGUCAGGAAGAGCUGUGUUUCGUCAACAACAAUGGUAGCUGGUUCAAAAAAGAGCCCAAUUUUCAGUACAACAACUACCAACAGAAAUCCUAUCCCAACAACCAACAGAGUGGUUAUCCGCCUAGAAACAACCAGCAAGGCAGCUAUCAGCCUCAGUAAAACCCCUCGUCUGGUUCCUCUGCUCCUCAAGAGAGCAGCACUGAUACCUUACUGAAACAAAUCUUGGAGUCUCAGACUAGAAGUGAGAAGCAUGUUGGUUAUGAGUUGAAGAACCUUCAUUCCAAGAUUGAUGGGAGCUACAAUGAGCUCAACAACAAAUUUUCACAUCUUGCUUCUAUAUUCAAGAAUUUAGAGAAUCAGUUUGCUUCCAUGAACACUCACCAGAAUCGCCAGCAAGGAUCUUUACCUGGAAAAUCUGACCAAAACCCCAAGGAGGCCAAAGCUAUCACCUUUAGGAGUGGUAAGCAGUUACCUCCUACAACCCUCACCAGGGAUGCUGAGAAACUAGGUGAGGAGGUGGCCAUCAACUUAGAUGAUGAAGUGGUGAUUGUUGAUGAGAAAAUCAAUGAUGAAAUCUUGGAGAAGAUUGUGGAAGCCAAAGGUAAAGGAAAGGUUGGGGAAGAGAAGAAAACAGUGAAAGAUGGUGAAGUUGUUGCUCCAGCAAGUGAGAAUUCUUUUGUUCCUCCUCCCUAUGAACCCAAACUUCCAUUCCCUGGUAGAUUCAAGAGGCAGCUGCUAGAGAAGUACAAAGCUCUGUUUGAGAAGCAAAUGAGUGAAGCUCAGGUUGCAAUGCCCAUCAUCGAUGCUUUCAUGUUGAUUCCUCAAUACAACAGGUUCCUGAAAGAUGUUGUAGCUGCAAAGAAGAAGGAGAUGGAAGGCAUGAUGAUUCUUACCCAUGAGUGCAGUGCCAUCAUCCAGAGGCUUGAUGUUCCAGAGAAGUUAGAGGAUCCAGGAUGCUUCACACUACCUUGUGCUCUUGGACCUAUGGUAUUUGAGAAAUGUCUCUGCGAUUUGGGAGCUAGUGUCAGCUUGAUGCCUUUGUCUGUUGCAAAGAAGCUUGGAUUCACUCAGUACAAGAAGUGUAGACUCUCUCUGGUGUUAGCUGAUCGUUCGGUGAAGUACCCUGUGGGCAUCUUAGAGGACCUCCCUGUGAAGAUUGGAAGGUAUGAGAUACCUACAGAUUUUGUGGUGCUUGAGAUGGGUGAGGAGCCUCAAGACCCAUUGAUUCUAGGAAGGCCAUUCUUAGCUACAGCAGGAGCUAUUGUUAAUGUGAAGGAAGGCACGAUUGAUCUCCAUUUGAGUAAAGAGAACAUCCUCCACUUUGACAUCAAGGGGAAAAUGAGAAAACCAACUGUGUUCGGGCAAGCCUUCUACAUUGAAGAGAUGGGCACUCCUGCUGAUGAGCACCUUGAAGAGUUACCACCUGAGGACGACGAGGAGGGAGCAUCUCCCUCUACUCAUUCCCCAUAGAAGGUAACCCACUACUUUCCCUUGUAUAUACCAUUUCGUUUUUGCAUAUUAGUUUUCUCUUUUUGGGUAUCUCUCUCUCCUUGACAACACAGAGACUGUGUCAUUUAAGUUUGGGGGAGGUACCAAGUAUUUGAUCAUGUUUGCUUUGAUGUUGUUUCAUUGAGUCAUGCAUUGCAUACCUAUUUGCAUAAAAAAAAAAAAAAAAAUCAUUUAGUUUGCAUCAUUUGCAUUUCUGGGAGAGUCUAGAGCAUAUAGGUUGCAUUUACUUGCAUUGGGAGCAAUGAUUUGAAAUGCCUUGUAAAGAACAUUACUUUGCACCUGAGUAGCUUAUGCACCUCUCAAAAAGACUUGUAUGCUUCGAGCUUUGAAAACUCUUCCUGAAACUUGUUGAUUGCUGAAACUCAACCUUUGAAGCCAACUACAACUUUGUUUGAACUGAGCGAACUUAAUGCUUCUUGCUUAUGGUCCCUUGUGUACUGAGUCAUGGAUAUACACACUUGAGUUGUCACAUCCUUUAUGCCAAUCUUUUUGACAAACUCGAGUGGUACACCAUUCCCAAAACCUUUCCCUCCUUUUGAGCUUUCAUUAUUUGAUGAGUGAGGCCUUUUUCGGAAAGCCUUACAUGUGCAUAAUGUUGAGAGUAUUGGGAACGAUAAUGCUUGGUUUUCAUUCUUGCUAGAUUAGGCACUCUAUUGUCUAGCUAUAGGUGGGGGUGAGUGUUGUGACUAUGGUUUGGAAGCAUGAAAAGUUUGAAGGAAAAGAAUUGACUCUUUGUGUUUAAAUGGAUAAUCUUAUUGGAAUUAAUAGAUAAACGUCUAGCUCGAGUUUAUGAAAAGUCUUGGCCCCCGAAAAAAAAAGAAUAUAAAAGAGAAAAAGAAAAAAAAAAUAUAUAAAAAAAAAAAGAGAAAAAGAAAGAAAAGGGGGCUAGCAAAGUUGUUUAGAGCUAAGAUUUGUUUAGAAGUUGAGAAAAUCCUUUAUAGAUUUCAAAGAAAAAGAGUUUUAUGUGCAAAGUAUUCUUGGGAUCUUUUGGUGAGAGAUGGGAGUUGGGUUUGACAUUGGAAAGUGAUUGUGUAACUUGUAUGUUUGGGAAAAGGGUAGAACAAUGGAGAUUGAGCAUUGUAUGCAUAAGUUGGUCUCUUUCUUAGAUAUAUUAUGUGCAAUGUCAAGGCUACUUGUUUUGAGAGUAAACCACUUUAAAAGAUCAUGGAUUUUGAACCUCUUGACCCACUUGAAUAAAAGUCUUUCCUUACUCAACCAAAUGAUUUGGACCAAUUGACCAUUUGCAAGAAUUCACUUAAUAUUUUAUGCUUAAUGAAUGUGAGAGUUGGUUGAUUUGAAUGUGUGGAUGCUUGAUGAUGAGUAUAAGGGCAAAAGGAGUUGAGAUAGGCCUAGAGAAGCUAGAGUGUAAUAAGAGAGUGUGCUCAUGUUGGAUUAGAUGUUGAAUUGAGUGCUAGUUGUAUUUCUUUUGGCUAUGAGCUCCCACCUUCAAACCUCUCUCCCUAUGAGUUCUAGAAAGUUCACUUGUGGACAAGUAAAAGAACAAGUUUGGGGGAGUUGAUGUCUUGCAUAUUUUCAUUGUUUUAUCCAUUCAUCCAUUAGCAUUUUCAUCAUAUAGAUUAGUAUUUAGCCAUGUCUAGGUUGCAUUUUGCAUUCAUUGUCCUUAUUAGGUGUUAGAGUGUGCCAUGGAGUGAUUUGAGAUGUUUGGGAGCAUUGUGAUCCAAAAUGGGGUGAAAGAUGAGCAUGUAUGGAGCCUUUAGAGAAAUCUUCUGUUGCUAAUAUUUUGUGCAGACACAUAAAAUUGAGUUAGCUUUCUAAUGGAAGUGGUUUCAAGUCAUUUGAAGAUGUAAUGAAGGAGUUACGACCAAUUUACUAGAAGCAUAUCCACCAUGUUCAAGCAUCCUGGAGCGACCUCUCAGAGCGACCUACCAAGGUCGCUCCCAGCCAGAGCGACCAGCCCAGAGCGACUAUCUCAAGUCACUCCAUCCAGAGCGACCAGCUCAAGUCGCUCGCAUUUUGACGGGGCAAGACACGAAGAAACGCGUCGGGAGCGACCUCCUGGAGCGGCUAUGCUAGGUCGCUCCGCGUGUUUUGCUUGGACGAUUUUUAUGUUAUUUCAGGGGCCUUUUGGUCAUUUGCUUUGUUGUUUUACAUUGCAUAAACCUAAGUUAAGUACUUUUGUAAGCGAUGGGAGGCAGGGGAUCUCUUUUCUAGAGAACACUAGUAAAACUUCUUUUGAUUCAGAUUUCAUUGCUUUCAUCUAGUGUUCUUGUUGAUUUCUUAUCUAUUUCUCUACAUGAUUAAUCUGAAAUCCAAUAUGGGUUUAAUAGGAAUCAUGGAGAUUAGUGAGUAAUCACCUUUUGAAUUCAUGGGUUAUGGAGAUUAAGGGUGAUUAGGUUAGUUCUAGGAUGUUUUAGUGUAGAUCAUUCUUGUUCCUUGCUAGUAGAGUAUUCAUAAUGCAUCUUCUGAGUUGGUCACUCAAAAGUUGAUCGAUAUGCAUUUCCCACCCAAAAGGUGUUUGAUGAAAUGUCUGAGACAACUCUCCUAGGCUUUUAGUAUACUUUGCCAAAGACAUUUGUUGUUAAAGGUGCUAAAAUAGCUAAUAGACUUGUUAGUAAUGAUUGCUUUCAUAUUAUUCAACUAAAAACAUUUGAUGUUUGAGAUAUGUUAGCAAAUGAGCAUUUAUCUAGACAUAGAGCUUGCUUAGAAUUGUGUCUAGGCUUAAGGUCGAUAGUUUGAUUGAUCAUUUGCCAUCCUUAGUUUGAAACUUGAUCACCCAAGGUCUAAUCCCUAUGCCCAUGAGUUCUCUUUUUCCUUAGUCAAGAAAGUAUCAUUCUGUAAUUGCUUUCUAGUAUUAGUAGUAGUUUAAAACUCAUCUAAAUCAUUGGUUGCACUUAGAUUAAGUGAGUACUUGCAUUCUCGGUGCUUUGAUAUCCCUCAGAACUGGUUCGAUAAUAUUUUAUACUACAUCAUUUGUCUUAGGAGCUUUGAAAACUCCUAACAUCAAUGUCUUGUUUAGCUUCCUGCACAAGCUGGAGAUACUAAUCAAGUAAACCCAUUGUAAUUUUCAGCUUAUGCUCAUCGUCCAGAAGCUUCAUGGCCUUUCUCUCUCUCUCUCUCAUGUUUUUCCUUAGUAAUGACCUGGAAGUAAGUUUCCUUCUCAAGAUGUUACUUCUCCUCGUAAGGCUUCUUAUCUUCUGCACUAAGACUUCAUCUUAUAAUGUUCUUCAAAAUAACAAAUAUAUAAACAAAUUUGGAGUAUAUAGAUUUUUACAUAAUAGUGUAUAUUUAUAUAUUAGAUAAAUAAGUUUCAUUGUAUUUAGCCAACAUUCUAUUUUAUAUUUAUAAUUGUUGUCAAUAAAGAAAGAUAAAUUUAUUAAGCAUUUGAAAUUCCUUUGCGAUCAUAUUAUAUCUUUUAUUUCCAUUUGAAACCUUUAUUUAUGCGCUUAAAGCCUAAAAGAAAGGCAUAGCACUAUCAGAUUGGCUGGAAACUCUUUUGGAAUAAAAUUUUCUUUCCAUGAUCUAGUUCGUUUAAGAAACCUCAUAUUUAUCGAUAAAAUCAUAUUUAAGAGAUCUCGACAUUAAUGUUGUUUUAAAAAAUAUCAUAUAUAAUCCUCAGAUAUGAGUUGGAUAUCACGUAACCGAAGAAAGUCAUUGAUGUGAUCUUAAGAACCAUCAUAGUUCUUUAGAGAUUUAUUUGAUUCUUGAUAUCCCAUUACUUUUAUGAUAUUUAGACUUCUAAAGCUUAUUCAGAUCAUUUUAGGUUGUAUUUAGGUGUUAAUAUUACAUUUGCAAAAAUCAAGGGCUAGAUUGUAUUUUUGGAAGUUUAAGGUUAAUUCAAGAGGUCAUUUCUGGUAAUUCAAACAUUUGUGUCCAAUUAGAAAACAAAGAAAAGAUGAGGGACCAUCGUGCAAUAAACAUAAACAGAUAUUUGGAAGACUGAAAAAUGCAAAUAUGAAGAAACCAGCCAUUGUCGUUGAUUGAUUCUUCUCUGGAAUCUGGGCUUGACGACGAUGACGAACCUGUUCCGGUGUAAUGAAGACCUCGGCUUGGAGCUGAGAACACGACCCAGAGAUGGAGAAUACGAUGUUGACGAGCCGUGAUGAAGAGCUUGGCUACGAUGAAGUGGAUUCACGGCGAGGAUGAGAAGAAGACAAAGGCGGAUCAAACCUUGUGCUUCUGGUCGGAGAAGAACAUUCGCAAGAUAACGUGGCGGCUAGGAGCCACUGCCAUGACUGCAGAUCUCAAAGAAGCACAAACAGAUCAAAGAGAAGUCGGAACGAAGAAAUUAGGUCACUGUUAGCUGUAACGGUUGAACCAUGGAUAAUAGAAUUAAGAGAUGUGUCUGAGAAGAAGAUGACGCUUUGGCGUCUGUGAUUGUCAAACAGAUUUAUGUAUGACAAAAGAAAGAAACAUGUGGAUUAUAAUUUCAUGACGUGUAUGAAUAAAUUAAACGGAAGGAAAGACCUUUGGCGGAUGAUGCUUUGAUUUCUUAACUUAUAGAUAUCUUACUUAAAAAAUUAUGUGUAACAUAGCUAUGAAUUUUCCCAAUAAUAAAAUUCAAAAUAAAACACUAUUUAACUAAUUAUGCCAUUUAUAAAUGCAAUAUAUAACCAAAAUAAUUAUGAUAUAAAAUACUCCCUUCGUUUCAAUAUAAAUGAUGUUUUAGAAGGUUUGUUUUGUUUCAAUUUACAUGAAGUUUUGAGAUUUUAAGAAAGUUUUGAGAUUUUAAGGUUAACUUUAAUUUUAUUGGAAACUGUUCAACCAAUUAGAUUUUACAGUCUUUUUUAUAAUUGAUUAACUGAUUUUAAAAUUAUAUUUUUGAAAUAUUUUUAUAGGAAAAUGUAAUUUUUUUAAUCUUUGUGUACUAUUACAAAACAUCAAGAGUAUUAUGAAAGGAAUGAAUGGAGUAAUAAAUAUCUGAAUAUAUUUUGACAAAGAUAAUUUAUUUAUGUUUCCAUCUUUAGUUACACUAGUAUUAAGAUGUUAUAAAAGUUUUGUUUUGGUUUUCCUAAAUGGUUGACAAAGUAGAAAGUUUAUAAAAAGGUAACGUGGAAACUCCCUUCCCCUCCCUCUCAUCCCCUAGUCUCCACGCGAACCACCGUGAUGGGUGUGGAUUACUACAAUAUACUGAAAGUGAAUCACAGCGCGAGGGAUGAUGAUCUGAAGAAAGCUUACAAGCGUCUGGCCAUGAUCUGGCAUCCCGAUAAGAACCCUUCCGCGCGGAGGGACGAAGCCGAGGCCAAAUUCAAACGGAUCUCUGAGGCCUACGACGUUCUCUCCGACCCUCAGAAGCGCCAGAUCUACGAUCUCUACGGCGAGGAAGGCCUCAAAUCUGGGAAAAUCCCCAAUUCUUCGUACGAGGCUUCUUCCUCUUCGUCGAGACCGCCGCACUUUUACCACCAGCAUCCGCCUAACGCGGCGUCGUUCCGUUUCAACCCUAGAGACGCGGAGGAUAUCUACGCCGAGAUCUUUGGAUCUGAAGCUGGAGGAGCAAGUGCUGGACAUAGGACGUUUAGGGAUGCGAGUUUCAGGAACGCUGGUGGUGCGAAUGGUGAGCUUAGGAAGGCUCCAGCCGUUGAGAAUCCAUUGCCUUGUAGUUUGGAGGAUCUUUGCAAAGGUGUCAAGAAGAAGAUGAGGUUAUCUAGAAAUGUUUUCGAUGCUUCUGGGUAUGUGUCCUUCUUCUUGGACUAGUUGGGUAGUAAAUGAUUCUUCUUCUUGGUCCAAACUUGAACUUGUUGGAAUCAAGCGGUCAAUUUCAUGACAAUGUGUAGCUUUCUAACACUGCUAAAACUGAACUCUUUUGAUGUUACAAGGCAAUGAUUUGUGUGGAUGUUUAGGCAAAGGUUAACGUGUCCUCUUAAUACAUUUUACCUAUCAAGUGCUUUUUAGUUUCUUUCCACAGAUCCGGUUUUUGCAGUUUACAGCUGCACGAACUUGAUUUUAUGUAUAAUGAUAAUAGAUGAUAGCUUGCACGUAUCUGUAUGUAUUUUUUGGGCUCAUCUUGCUUCAUAUGAUUGUUGGGGUUUUCCUAUAAUAGCUCAAGAAUGUAGCGAAAGUUGUCGUAUUACCUCCUUGUGUCUCUGCAUACACAGAGAUGAAUUUUUAUCUUGUUUUAUCUCAGUACUGUUAUGAUUCGUGUUGUUUGGUUGUUGCAGUAAAAUGAGGGUCGUUGAGGAGAUAUUGCCCAUAGAAAUAAAACCCGGGUGGAAGAAAGGCACAAAGCUCACUUUCCCUAAGAAAGGCAAUGAAGAGCCUGGAAUCAUACCAGCAGACAUCAUCUUCGUGGUUGAAGAGAAGCCACAUCCUCUUUACAAGAGAGACGGAAACGACCUUUUGGUCAACCAGGAGAUCACUCUGCUUGAAGCACUAACCGGUAAGACCCUCGACCUGACCACGCUUGAUGGUAGGAGUCUCAUGAUCCCACUAACGGAUAUCAUCAACCCCGAGCACGAGAUUGUUGUUCCAAACGAAGGAAUGCCCAUCUCUAAAGAGCCUGGUAAAAAAGGUAACCUGAGGUUGAAGCUUAACGUGAGUUAUCCGUCUAAGCUGACAGCGGAACAGAAGUCCGAGCUGAAGAGAGUUCUUGAUGGGGUUUCAUGAACAAGUCAGAUGAUGAUGAAUGUAGAUAGCAAAAGUAGAGGAGAUGAUGUAGAUUGUGAAUGGUAGGAAGGAGCUUGGAUUUGAAAGCCGAAGAACAAACAAACACACGCUUUGCUUCUGUCUUUUCUGUUUCUCUUGUCUGAAAUUAGACUCUUCUGGUUUCCUUUUUUGUUAAUUUUAUUUAUUUGAUUUGGUUUUGAGGGCCUUUAUCAUAUGUGAUUUAUGUGACUCCAAACAUUGAGGUAUGCUUUGUUACCUAUUUAUCUUAUUAAUAAGAAUCAUUUGUGCCUCCACUAUCAUUUGUAUCUUCAUAACUAGGUCAGGUAAGCAUGGAUUAGAGAGAUCUAAGUUCGAGUCUGAAGCCAAAAUCAACAAGAACCAACCUAAAACCGAAAGUCAAGGACUCAUUCAAACAGUAGGAAGUGAUGUGAGUUAAGUCACUUGGUCAACAGUACAGACUAGGCCCUAACAAAAGAACCAUACACUUUUCUAGCUUACUAAGACCAUACUUACAUGCACAAGCCAAGAUGGCCACAAACCCCUCAUUCGAACCAACUUGGGCAACUGAAAUUCAGGAAAUGGAAUAGAACAACAAGUAUAUUUAUUCAGGGGAACUGCGAAAAAAAAAAUAGUAGUAAAACUCAAUGUAAACUUUUUUUGUGACCAAUAUAUCGGCUUCACUCUUCUUACAAACACUUGUAGAUGCAACGUUAUAGGAUUCCAAAAGUGGUACUUCAAGGAGCAAAAAAACUAUUGAUGAAAAUGUUUUUAAGCAGUCUUGGAGACAGGGAAGAGCUUUUCCACCAUGUUGUUUGAGAGAAUUCUGUUUGGGUCCAGCUCCCUUCGUGCUUUGUUGUAUGCAUCCACCGGGAAUCGUUUUCUGAGUCUUUCUUGUAGGGCUUCAAGUUCCUCUUUAUCCUUUGGUAUCUGCUUACAUAAAACAUUUUAAACACUCAAAAUUAGAACAAUUGCACUACACAUUUCAUUUGCUUACUUUUCACGACAACAAUUGCAUUACAAGCAGAAAAGGUAGUAGGAUACAGAGAGUUUCUGUCUAAGUCUAACUAAACUAUGAAAUUCUAUAAAGGUGAGUGAAUCAGAAGGAUCAUCUACAAUUACCUCAAUUUUAGCCCAAUGUUCAUACGCAGAAUACUGGUCCCACAAUUUUGCCUGUGUCAAAUGUCUAUAGUGGAAAAAUUCAUCCGUGAUGUCCUUUCUCUGGCGAGGGUCUGCUGUCGGGAGAUACAUGAUUAUACCAACCUGACACAAAAAUGUAAUGUAGCAUAUUAUAAAUGUAUAUAGCUAGCAAUGGAAAGAGAGAGAACGAAAACAGCAAAAAAAGUCAAUGCUGGAACAAGAUUGGUCAAUAGCAAGAAUCUACCAAGUUAAACAAAAUCUAUCUCUCUAUGUAGCAUCAAUAUUCCAAAAAUUCUCAUUUAUACUUGUUUUCACGAAAGUUAAAAGAGGGAAAACAGGAAUUACCCAUGAGAAAAUGUCCUCCUCUGCAGUGCUGAAUGCAGGACUCAUAGGGCUCUUACUUCGGCCUGUCCAACGCUGCUCUAUGGGAGAAGGUGCUGGUAUUGCUUCUUUUUGUAUCAACUCUUUCAGCUGUUCUAUGUACUCAAGGUCUUUCAUGCUAGGUUUAGCGAGAGUUCCAGCAGGAAAACAAGUUUCUGAUACCCACUGUUGACCACCACAGUCAAAGCCCAGGAUUUCAUCACUCCACCCUACUCUGUAUCCUUCUGAUUUUUUCCAAAACUCAGCCUCAGCUUGAUUCACUUUUCCAACGUGAACGUCAUUGAGAGGAUCUAGGGCAAUCAGCUUAUCUCUCAACUCUGUAAAUGAAAGCUCGUUAAUGUCUGGCUCCCUACUGUCAGGAGUCUUCUUACUAGAGUCCUGGACCCUAAUACAUCAUGGUGGAAAAAAUAAUGAUCAUUUAAUCCUCCACACUAGAGAAAGCAAUUUAAGACAUAAUAACAACUAAAGCAUAACGAUACCUAUACUUAACAAUGCUCUCUCUAUACAGGUCACGGACAUGCUUUAAAGCCUCCUCUGUAGUGUACUUUGGUUUGUCCUUAGGUGCCCCACUCCAUUUUGAUACAGGGUUGCAUGUAACAACCACGACCGUGUCAGUAUAUGGAAUAUACAGGUACUUGACAUGCUUAUUUGUAGAGAGCAACUUUCUAAACAGCCAGAAACAGAAACAAAAACAAAAGUCAGGAAAACUUCCACUCUUAUGAGAUCAAUGAGGUUCAUAUUAGAGGUCGUUCUUUGCCAAAUGAUAGAAAUGCACUAUGCUGGGGGGGGGGGGCAGUAAGUCAGUAACUAGAACAUGAACAAAAACUUAAAGAACUUGCAUCAACCAUUAUUCAAGGGUAGAGAGAUAUACUAUUAAGACUAGGAUAAGGAAAGUCAGCAACACUUAACUUGUGAUUUUUCUUGAUCUCUUCCAAGGUGGAGACGUAAGUGUGCUCCAAAAGCUCCUGUCUUUCAACGCACUGGAGGGUGACCUCAGCAACAACUCCAAGUCCACCAAGGCCACAUCGAGCAAGAUGAAAGAGCUCCGGAUCAUUAUCCUUAGAAAGCUCAAUAGUUCCCUUAGCAGGAGUGACAAGCUUCAUGCCAAUCACUUGCUCAUCGAUAGGAGGCAAUCUAGCACCUGUCCCAUGUGCCCCAACCUGAACAAAAAACCAUAAAAGCCUAAACCUUAAAGAAAACAAGGAAGUUGCAGAAGAACCUGAAUGAUGCCACCAAUCUGCUGCUCUCUAAUGGAAGCAAAGUUCUGGAGAGUGAGACCAUACUCUUGAAUGGAGUCAACAAGCUGAUGAACCAUAAUCCCAGACUGCACACGGACUCUCUUCUUCUCUUUAUCCACCUCGAGGACCUUGUCCAUGAGCGCCAAAUUCACCAUCCCCGAGCGAGACAAACCGAUCCCAUUGGGGGAAAGACCGGAUCCAACGGGUCGGAUCCUGUUCUUCUUCUCAUGAGCUUCCUUGACGAGAGCUUCGAGAUCGGCGAGAGUCUCCGGCUGGUUAAAGUUCCUGGUCUGGACCUCGUGAGUACCACUCCAGUUAGAGACGGUGUGGAGAUCUUCGGGGAGAGGAGCGUAUCGGAAGAUCUGAGCCUUCUUGUGUUUGGCGUUCUCGGGGAAGGGGAAGGAGAAGUAAGUUGCGGCGCCGGAGAAGAGAGCGAGUGCUGCGUAUCCGGCGUAUUUACGGAACUCCUUUUCUGAGGCGGAGGAUGAAAUCGGCGGUGGAGGAGGAGGCGGCGGUGGAGGGGCUGGAGUCAAGGUCUGACCGGAAGUGCAUAGAGUGCGGAGAGGGGGAAAUGGGGGUCGAAGCGAACGGGCGUUGGAGCGGCGGAGGAGAAGUGAUCGGAGCAUUUUGUUUUAGUUCAGGCGAUCUGAAACCUGAGCCAGCGAAAGGUUUCUUUCUGUACAAAGGAUCGGGUUUAGGAGAUUUACGAAUAUUUCUAAAAUGUCCACAGGUUUUAACUAUUUUCUUAAUUUAAGCCGUUGUAAUAUCUUUAUAAAAAAUUACCCCCACAGGUAGGCCUGGGAAUUUAAAUCAAAGCCCGCGGGGCCCGCCCCAUUUGACCCGCCGCUGGGAGGGUGCGGGUCGAGCGUUUUGAAAAAAUCAAGUCGCGGGGGCGGGUGCGGGUUAAGACUAUUUUUUGCGGAGCGGGUGCGGGUUGGUGGAUUUUGAUUUGCGGAUAUCCGCCAACCCGCAAAAUAAAAUAAAAAAUAAAAAAAUCUUUUUUUUUUUGAAAAAUUCGAUUUUUUUAGAAAAAUAAUUUAUUUUAAACAAAAAUAAUUAAAUUUAUUAAAAAUAAUAUAAAAAAUUACUUAUAAAUAUAUUAUUUUAUAGAAAAACUAAUUAAAUUAUUAUUUUUUUAAUUAAAAAUAUAAUCCGCGGGUCCCGCGGGUUACCCGCAAAAUAAAGUGGGGCGGGUGCGGGUAUUAGUUUAUUUCUUUGCGGGGUGAGCGGGUCAAAAUUUUGACUAAAAAAAAAGAAACGAUCCGCGGGUUGGCGGGUCGUGCGGGGCGGGUUGACCCGCGAACCCAGGCCUAUUUUCCCACCAAAACCGUAAAAACAAGUUUUUCCGCCAAAACCGCAAAAACGAGUUUUUCCGCCAAAACCAAAAAGAUUAUUUUUCCCGCAAACCGCAAAAAUCUAGUUUUCCAACCAAAACCACAAAAAAAAAAUUUCCGACCAAAAACUGCAAAAAGAAAAUUUUCCGCUAAAGCCACAAAAACAAUUUAACAAGUUUUCUCGUUAAAACCAUAAAUGAGUUUUCCUGUCAAAACGAUGUUUACUGCUUAAACCACAAAAUGAGUUCCGGUUAAAAUUGCAAAAUAAUUUUUUUUUUCGAAAAAACGAGUUUUUUCUCCAAAAUCAUAAACGAGUUUUUGCGCUAAAACAAGUUUUCUAUAAAAUUGCAAAAUCUUGUUUUUAUAUUAAAGCUCACAUUAAUGAUAUUAAUAUUUUACAUGAUCUUCAGAGUAAAUAAGAUAAUACUUUGGAUACCCACGGGUAAACCUAUACCAUAUUGGGUUUUUUUUUUGUUUGGAUUUCAAUAUUGAUGUUUCUGGGUUUUUGCGGGUUGGAUAUAAACUGGGUUGGGUUAUUUGUGGGUUGGGGUGGGCUGGGUUAUUUUACCCAAAGUUAACAUCCCUACAUUCAACCACAUAACUAAAACUAGAGAGAGAGAGAGAUAAAUACAGAAACCAAAGGUUGCAAAAACCACGUUAAUCUAAGACAAGUUGACGCCGCUUAUAACGCACCAUCACAUUGCCUUUAAUGCCAACCACCAUAGCGUUCCAGUCCAUCUCAGGGAAGGGUGAAACCAACUCAAGCUCAAAGUUCCUCAACAAAUGACUCCAUAUGGCUUUGAUUUGAAGGUAAGCAAAGGGCUCUCCAAGACACCCGUGCCUACCUCCACCGAAUGAAAUGUACGAAAAUGCCCCUGCGGCUUUGUCCUCUUCUCUUCCCGGGGAGAAUCUAUCCGGGUCGUAGCUGUCCGGGUUCUUGAAGACAUGCGGCAAGCGGUUUGCAAAAGCAGGCGAGGUUGCAACGAUAUGACCCUUUGGGAUGUCAUACGUUUUCCCAUCCCUGGUUGUUACGUUGAAAUCACUGUGGGAGGCUCUCAUUAGCAUGAUCAACGGAGGGUGAAGCCUCAACGCUUCCUUAAUGCAACGGUAGAGAACAUUCAUCUCCGAGGAUAUGAUGUCGUGAUCAAUCUUGUCUCCAUGUUUCUCAAUCAGCUUCUUCUGCUCAUCCAAGGCAGCGGACGAGUACUCUUUGUAUUUCAUCAGAUAAGCACCGGUCCACGUGGAAGUGAUAGAGCUCGUCUGCUGUCCUGCAAAGAGAGCAGCGAUGAGCAAACCCGCUACCUCGGAUUCGGUUGUCUGUCUACCGUCUCUGUACUUUGACUCGAUGAAACACUGCAACAUGUCGUUCUCUGUUUUGCCAGAGUGUUUUCUCGACAACAUGAUGUUUGAGAAAAUCUCAGAAAGCUUUACACGAGCACGGUCGCGACGACGGUGAGCUGGAAUAGGGAGGUAUGGGAAGAGAACACUGAUGGGAAGCAUUCCAUUGUCAAGAUCAUGGAACAAAGCAGUGACGUCAUCAAAAAGCUGGUCACGUACUUCUCGACCCAGUAGACAUCUACUUGCAGUCAAGAUGAUGAGACUGUCUAGCUCUUCCUUAAGAUCAACUUCACCACUCUCUCCCCAGUUGGAGAAGAAACCCUGCCAAGAAAAAAAACAAGCUAUAUUCAUAUUUAAAUAGUAUAUAUGUAAUAUGCUUCUUUUUGUCACUUGUAUAUAUGUAAUAUGCUAAAAUCAAUAAUAUGGCUAAAAUAAUAAUAAUAAAAAAAAUAUGGCUAAAAGAUCCAAAAAAUUGUAUGUAAUAUGCCAAAACAAGCUAUAAUAUACUUCAGCUUCAGUAAUCAUCAUAUCCACGUAAGCCUUUAGCUUGUUGACUCGGAGUGCCUCGCUGAAGAACCGAAACUGUUCCUGACGAACGGUGUAGUCGACAUCGAAAACAACUCCAGGGCCAAAAGUAGGCACGUUGAAUUUGUAAACUUCCUGCUGGCUGAGAACAGAAUCAUGAGCUUUGAAAAAAUGAGCGGAGACUUCAGGACCAAUGAGAAAAGUCAUCUUUUUGUGAAGAAGAUUCACUGUGAAGACACUUCCAAGCUUAGGGUAUUCAUCUCUAAGCAUUACGACAGGGCCUUUCAAGAACCGGAUAAGGCUUCCGAUCAAUGGAAGCCAAGCUUGAAGAGUGGGAGGAUGACGCUUCUUCCUGGACUGGGAAGUGAAGAAGGAGAAGAUGAGUUUGGAUAUAGCAAGUGUCGCCACUAUAACCAAACCCGUCUUUAAUAAGUUGUUGUCCGAAUCCAGUUCCAUUUUUUCGUUGUCUUUAACUGUGACGUUCAUUGACAAUAAAAAGUCAGAAUCACACAUGCAGAGGACGAGAGUAGUGUGUUUUGCCAUUUGAAUCCCCAUGCAUGAUUAGAUCAGAUUGGUUCUUGACUGAUAAUAAUGUUUAAGACUUUUUUUUUGUGUUUUUGAAAAAGGGCAUUCAAAUUAAAAACGUAGAAACAUAAUGUUUAAGACUGAUAAUAAUGUUUAAGACUUUAUACGAGAAUAAUAAUGUUUAAGACCUUAUACGAGAAAACGAGAACAAUUAAGUGAAGAUCGAUACACAAAGCUUAGAGAAACGAAAAGCACUAUUAUUGGUUGGUGUAAGAGGAGAUUCCAAUCAGUGACAAAAAAUAUAAAAAUAAGAAGAGAUUCCAAUAAGCUUACUUUGGAGGAGUUAAUCGUUGAAGAUGACCCAAGUUUCAGAAAUUAACUUUAUCUCUUAAGAUGUUAUUACAAAUGAUUACAACUUAUAUAGCCAAACAAAAUAAUUUUAAGGGCUUGCUUUAGGUUGAAUCAUUUCGGAGAAGAGCAAAGCGGUUCUAAAUAAAGAUGGGUUGAGAUGGAUGAGAAAUUGACACCUUUGCUUUUGUUUUUGAUGUAAUUUAUUAUGUAUUUUUUAUUAAUCUCUUAUGUAUUGUCGCUUAUGGUGACAUUACAUUACCUUUUGUAAAACUAUGGGUGCAUGUGCACCCUGUGUCUUGUUACUAGCUUCGUCCUUCGCCAUAUGUAGAAUAGUUUUGACUGCAAGGCAUUUGUAUCAUUUGACUGUAGUUGUCUAGAUAGUCAAUCCAUUCUUCUUGAUUGAAUCUUUUAGCAAUUAAGCCCGCUUUGAGCUUAUCAAAGGAUCCAUCAUAAUUAAGUUUAGUACGAAAGAUCCAAUUACCACCUAGAACAUUCAUCUCCAGGGUGUAAGGUACUAAGACCAACCGCAACGGAAGCCCUUAGCGAUUCCUAAGGGUCAUUACCAAAGUUAAUGGUAAUAUAAAAACUAUAUUUCAGCAUAAUUAUCUAAGGAUCAACCCGUAAGUAAGGGGUCGAGGGAGCUGAACCUUGGGCGACUUGGCAGGUGGGUAUUGGCGGAAGAUUCAUUCGUCUUUGGUGUAGACGGAAAAAAAAUUCAUUUUCGACGAAGGAGAGAAAAAAAAGAAAGUGUCGAGAAAAGGCGAUAAAAGGCGAUUUCCAAUCGAUUUUGACGAAGGUAAAUUGAAGCUUUCUUUUGCUGUUUUUUCGAUUUAGAUUAGGUUACAUGUUGUUUCCCUCUGAAAUUAGGGUUCUGAUUUGUGUUUUCAAUCGAUUUGUGGACAAAAACGUUUGAAAUUAGGGUUUUAAAGAUGGGGGUUUAGGCUGCUAGAAUGAUGAAUAUUAAAACUGAUCACAAUCUACCUGAAAGUUGCAUGAACGAAUGCGGGUGCGGGUAUUAGUUUAUUUCUUUGUGGGUUGAGCGGGUCAAAAUUUUAACUAAAAAAAAAAGAAACGAUCCGUGGGUUGGCGGGUCGGGUUGACCCGCGAACCCAUGCCUACCCACGGGUUAUGAUUUGCAAUCAAAUGGUCCCAACUACAAAACCAACCAUAACCACAUAUUCUGUAUUUUUCUUUUGUCCCACGUGGGAAUUGAGACGCACCCUUAUGCUAGAGUGACUGGACAAAGUCGCAAAGUCACGUCAGUAUCGAGUCAUCGAAAAUAUAGUUUUCGUUUAAAAAGUAACUUUUUUAUAAACUCUAUAUAGAAGACUAUGGGAGGAUUGGUGAUUUUGUAUUGUUCCUUUUUUUUUUUUCUCAACUUCAAUUUUCAAUUAACCAAAUAUGAAAUACAAGAUUACAACCUUGACGAGAUUUUAACCCCACGUACAAUGUCGAGAUCAAGUAUCACCCAUGAACACUUAGAAAGAUCCUACCCUAGCGAAUCUUAGACGACAUUGUAUUUUCCUCCACAAUGAGAGCGAGUUCAUCCCACGACCCGGAAUAAACCACCUCUUACACCCCUAAAUUCGACCUCGAAAUACAGAGACAAUAAUUAAACAGACGGGACAAUAAGACUCAAUUGAUUCCAAACUAAGUCCAAACUAAUGGUCGCCUUAUGUUACGAGUUGAGUCCGUGGACCACAAUAUCACCACCAGAGGUGCAUUCCAAUCUGAGUCUCACAUCCUCCGCCAAUCACUAUCCUGGUUCUCAGCCUAAAACCGGACACCAAGACCGGAUUGAAAUUGCGGACCUUGAUAACAGCAAACGAGGCAGAGUACUAAACGCGACUUCAAGAGGUGCGGAGUUCAUACCACCGGAAAACGACCACAAGACCAUCGCCGGUGCUGGGAAGUAGAAGCUCUGCCGCGUUUCACCAGCAAGGACCCUCUCCUUCGGUUGACAACUCCAUUGUUGAAGGGCUUUGCCAUGCGUCGCACAAUCACACCACUCCUCCAAACGUCUCACCUUCGCAUGGGAAGGAGAGAUCCUAGGUGAAGGAGACGUCAAACCCAAACCACGCGCCGUUAUCGUGAAAGUUCUGUCAUAUAUCUGGAAAUUGGAAAACUUGGAUCUGACCGAACCUUCGGUCCUAAAAGUCGACUCUCAUCACCACCAUCCCGCCAUGAGUCUCGCCGCCCCUCCAUAGAAAGCAGGGCCCCGCCUCCAUUGCAUACAGUGAAUGCUCCGGAAGAGGACUCCACAGGCACAAUAACGACAUGCAUAUCGACCUAGGGGAAAAUAGAAGGGGUGAGAGCAAAAGGAAAACGAGUUUGUAAAGGAAGAAGGUGCGCCCCCGACGCACCGGAGCUAGGGUUUUAUUUUUGUCGGUGUUGCUUCUUUAGAGAGAAGGGAGAGCAGAGAGACUUUUUUUAUUUUUUUGGAAACUUUUGACAGUGAUUUUGUAUUGUUCUCAAUUUUCAUUAUUAUUAUGAUUAAAAAUUAGAUGCCGAGGUUAUAUAUAAACUAUAUUUGUUAUUUAAUCGGCUAUGAUUAAAAACUUGGGAGGCCAUUCAAGCUUUAAUUGUAUUCGAAAUUGGUGGUUUAAUGAUCUUGUUAAAUGAUGACUGGUCUAACCAGACCAUCUAACCACUAAUCCAAAUAUAUAUACCAAAUAAAUUAUGUGUUUAACAUUAUAACAAACUAGAGAAAUGUAGUGUAAUAGUAAAAUUAUACAUUACUAGAGUCUUUAUCUGCGGUACGCGCGAAAAAUGGGCUAUUUCAAUUUUGUGUUUGAUUUGAAAUAUUUUAUUACUAUUAAUAAUUUUUAUGCUAAGAAUAAUUAAGUUUUGAUUGGAUGUUGAUAUUUUUUAUAUGUUUCCCAUAGAUGGGAAACUAAUAUUUGGGAAGAAAAAGGUGGAAAUAUUUUUGGGUGCACUUAUUAUAUCCGAAUUAGAAUACAUUACUUGGUGGGAUAAGAUAUAAUUAUAAAUCUUGAAAUAUUAUGGAUCGUUUAUGGUGCGUUUAUAUUUUUUUUGUGUAUUGUAUUUGUAGUGAUUGUGUCUUUUGCCAUUGUGUGCUUGGCAAGUAAUUGACUGUUGAAGGAUAAUUGAGACAUAUCAAUUGUUUAUUGCUAAUUGUUGUUGAUAGUUAAUUUUCGAUUAUAAGUUACAAUGUUUUUGUUUAGAAUGGGAGCAUUGUAUCUUCUAAAAUGGUGGAAAAGUUGGUGAGUAUCAAGUUUAUGUUACUAAACUUGAUGAUAGAAUGAAGAUAUGUGGCAAAUUUGGAUUAAUGUGGCAAAUUUUUAAUUCUGAAUAAAAAAGCACCAUAAAUAAAAUGUUACCUUUGUUUCAUAGUAUAAGUUAUUUUAUAAAUUUGAGAAAAAAGAUAUUUUAAAAAUAUUUUUUGUUUCAAAAUAUAUGUUUUCGUAUUUCUAAACAACUU